GAAUGAAAGAGCUGAAGAAGCUUCAAACAUUGUCCAAUUUUAUUGUAGGCAAGGGUGAAUCCGCAUCUGGUUUGGAAGAUUUAAAAAGUUUAAACCUUCUUUGUGAUGAACUUUGCAUUGCUGGAUUAGAGAAUGUGAAUAAUCCACAGAAUGCAAGAGAAGCCGCAUUAUGUGAGAAGCACAAUCUUGAAGCAUUGACUCUAACAUGGUGGCCUCAAUUUGACAGUCCUCGAGGUGUAGUAGUGGAAGAGAAUGUACUUGACGUUUUGCAGCCUCAUAAAUGUAUAAAAAAGGUGGCAAUCAGGAACUAUGGUGGUGCAAGAUUUCCACCUUGGAUAGGAGAUACUUUAUUCUCCAAGAUAGAGCUCCUUGAAUUGAAGAACUGUGACAAUUGUGUGUCUUUGCCAUCGCUUGGCCUAUUGAGUUCACUUAAACACCUUGCUGUUAAAGGGCUGAAGAAACUAAAAAGCAUAGAGUCUGAGGUUUAUGGGGAGGGUUUGUCAAUGCCUUUUCCAUCGUUGGAGGUUCUAAGUUUUGAGAAUUUGCCUGAAUGGGAGUAUUGGGACACCAAUAUCAGAGGAAAUGUGCUCGUUGAAAUGUUUCCUCGUCUCCAUAAACUUUCCAUUGUGGAAUGUCCAAAACUCUCUGGGGAACUGCCUGAGCUCCUGCCCUCCUUGGAGACACUUGUUGUUAUUAAAUGUGAAAAUUUGGUAGUUCCAUUGUCUCGCUAUCCGAUGCUCUGCAGAUUAGAAGUUGAUGAGUGCAAGGAACUAGCGUGCGGGACUCCAAUUGAUUUCAAGUUGAUAAAGUCUGUGACUAUUUCAAAUAGUUCCUUAGACAUGGAUGGAUGCAAGGGGAUGCUAUACGAUGGUCCAGCUAGCUCUUCACUGCCAAAGCCCACGAUUACUACAAAUGUUUUGGAGUUUGGAAAAUUAUUGAAGCCUGGAUUUCAGAUAUUAGAAACGUUGGUAAUUGGCAAUUCUGAACAGCUCAAGUCAUGGAGGCAGCAUGGGGAUUUUCUAGAAGAAUAUAUGGUCGCUCGCCAAAGGUUUAAGAAACCAGUACAAGGGCUGAAUAUGCUCGCUUCCCCUGAAGAGGUAACAAUUGAAGAAAGUUGCGUACGUCUUGUUUUGUUUCCAGAGAUCAAUUUCUUUCCCAGAAAUCUGCGCUCUCUUCUAAUUAACAACAACACUGCUUUCAAAUCCUUACCCGAGGAAAUGAUGGAAAACAAUUCACAACUCGAAAGGUUGUAUAUCAGAGAUUGCGACUCUCUAACAUUCAUCGCAAGACGGAGGCUACCAGCAUCUCUUAAAAGGCUUGAGAUAGAAAAUUGUGAGAAAUUGCAACGUCUGUUCGAUGAUGAAGAGGAUGCUUCUUCUUCUUCUUCUCCUUCAUCCUCGUCUUCCCCAGUGAUGCUGCAACGCCUGAAUAUAAAGAACUGCCCAGAGCUCACCAGUUUAUCAUCGGGUGUCCAAUUCCUUGAGGCGCUUGAAGGCCUCGAGAUAUGGGAUUGUCCAAAGCUGGAGUCAAUACCGGAUGGCCUGCACAAUCUUAAAUGUUUACAGAGCAUUCAUAUAGAUGGAUGUCCAAGUCUUGUUUCCUUGCCCAAUGACAUGCACAAACUGAACUCUCUUCGAGAUUUAAACAUACGGGCGUGUCCAAUAUCGUUUCCAGAAGAAGGUUGUCCUACCAAUCUAACAUCACUUACACUUGGAUAUGUCGAAAUGUAUAAGACACUCGUCCAGUGGGGGUUGCACAGGCUUACCUCUCUUAGAAGCCUCGACAUUUUUGGAUGUGAUGAUGAAGCAGAGUGUUUUCCAGACGAGGAGAUAGGAAUGACGCUGCCCACCUCUCUCACUCAUCUGCACCUUUUUGAUUUCGAAAAAUUGAGAUCUCUGUCUUCGACGGGUUUUCAGAGCCUCACCUCUCUUCAAUCUUUGGAUAUCUGGUUUUGCCCAAAUCUCACAUCAUUCCCAAAGGUGGGCUUUCCAUCCUCACUUGUGGAAUUACGCAUUAGAGAUUGUCCAAAGCUUAAAAAAGCGUGCAAAAGAGAUCAAGGAAAAGAGUGGCCCAAAAUUGCUCACAUCCCUUGCGUUGAGAUAGACGAUAAAUUCAUAUACCAUCCAAAAUCAGAGGUGUAGAGUGUAUUAUUAAGGUCAGUUGAUUUAUGUUAUCCACCAUAACAAGCUCCUCCUUUUUUUUUAAAUAAUAAUUUUGCAGUCACUCGCGUGAUUCCGUUUUCACAAGUCAGAUUGUAUGUUGAGGCUAUUUGCCUUUUAAUCGCAGAUUAAAUUAUAACACUUAUCUUAAAAUUUAAUACCAUAGACAGAUAGACGAUUUUUUAAUCCAAAGUUUUUUUAUUCACUUCAGUUAGCAUUUUUUUUUUCCCCAAAUCAUGCAAGCCGAGAGUUUCAAUCAACAGAAUUUUAUUCACUCAUUGACUUUUCAACUGCUGUGGUUAUUUAUGGGUGAAAGAUAAAUUUCUUAGAUGGUAGAUAUAUCGACAUUUUAGAUUUCAGAUAUUUGUCACCAAUUUCAUUCCUUUUUUUAAAAUUUUUUUUAAGCAAGUUUGACUAAUUUUAACCAGAAUUGGAGUAUAAUAUUUUGGAGCAAGCAUACUUGAAAUUUCUGUCUUCAAUUUUUUUGAUGCUUUUUUAAUUUUGAUCUAGUAAAAAUACAUAGCCUUCACCGGCAGGAUUCUAGUCUUGGCUUUCACCUCUCUAACUCAUCUGUCCCUAUUGGGAUUCCAGAAAUUUAAAUUUCUGUCUUCAAUGGGUUUUCAAAGCCUCACCUCUCUUCGAUUUUUGUGGAUUGGGAAUUGCACAAAUCUCACAUCAUUUCCCGAGGUCGAGGAAAAGAGCGGCCCAAACUAUCAGCGGUGUUGAUUCUCUUAUUAAGGUCAGCUGAUUUCUAUUAUCCACUCUGACAAUCUCCUAUUAGUGUUUUUUUUUUAAAAAAUUUGCAGUUCUGUAUAAUUGAAAUGCCACUCACUUGUUUCCUUCUUCACAGGUCAGAUAGUAUGUUAAAGCUAUUAGUGCUGCCUCAUAGGUUGAUUACUCACAGAUGAAAUCAUAACUUUUAUCUUAAAAUUUAAUAGCAUACACAGAUAGACGAUUUUUAGUCCAAAGUUUUUUUUAUUCACUUCAAUCAAAAUUUUAGAUUGCAGAUUUUUGUCGAGUAUUUUCAUUCCAAUUUUUUCAUUUUUUAUUUUAAACCAGAAUUGGAGUAUAAAAUUUUGGAGCGCGCAUACUCUGAUGCAUGCAAUUAACUGUUUUUAAUCGUUGGAUUUUGAAAUUAAUGAUGGUAAGAUGUGUACUUAUUCUUUCUUCCAACAACCUUGCCUUCUUUCUUCGGUCGCAUAUCUAAUGAAUAUUUCUCUGUUUAGUUAAGGAUGAAUGCUUGGAGUGGGGUACUUGGUAACAUUUCUGCCUUAGAUGAAUCCUUGAAGAAAUGCCCGCAGUUCCUGAGACCAAAUACAGGUCUGAUUCAAAACAGCACCUUUCCCAGAAAAUAUGAUCCAAGGCAAAGUCAUGUUCUGAUAAUGUUUCCUUAAGUACUAAGUUGCAAGGAAACUUGAUUCAUUAACUACAGUUUUUUAUUUUUAGGACCUUGUAUCUGAAAGGUUCAGUGUUUUUUUUUUUCAAAUUUAUUGUUCAGAUCUCAGAGGAGUAUAUGGUUUAGAUUACAAAACACCCAUGAUUAAUUUCAUUUUUUUUUUAAUUUCAGGGAGAAGAAGUGGUCAGUUUCAAUCCGGAAUUGGAAUAUGGCAAUUUGGUUCAAGCAAACACACCUGGUCACUUGGUCAGUGGUCACUUGGUCAGCGAACCUGAACUUUACGCAGUUUUUUCAACUCAGUGAUUUUUGGAACGCAUAUUGGUGUAAGGAAAUCAAAAGAAAUUUAUGCAUUGUCAAAUUCUGAUAUUUGCUAUAUAUUAUACAUUCUAAAGUUUCUCCAGUUUGUUCUCAGAUUACCAUCAUUUUUUGCUUUCACCAACCAAACAAAAACAAAAUGAGUGGCUUUCCGGUGGAUAUUUAAUCGGAGGUAUGACUGGAUUUUUUUCACUUCUGUAAAUCUUGCAUUUUAAACUGGCAAAUUUAACUUUAAUUUUAAUAGGACUUUGUUGGUACCUUGUGUUCCAGAAACUAGAAAGAUGUGUAGUUUUCAGAUAAAGGGGCUUGUAAAUUCUCUAGUAAGAAUCCAAUAAUUUGCUUUUGCACGUUCAUUUUAUUUGUGGAUCCUUGCAUCUGAAUUUGAUCAAUCCAAAAGGAAUUGCUUUUAGACAGAAGAAGAAUAGCAGUACCUAGCCUAUGACAUAGUAUAUGGACCUGCAAACCUGAAACUAUUAGUUUGAGGUAAAAAAUUCAUGACCCUCACAUGUUAACUUCUUCUAGUUACUUUCAUGAAAAACACAUUUAAGAAAUUUGCAAUUUUUUGUUAGUUUCGUAUCCGAUGUUGUUUUCUGUUUUAGCAUUUGUAGAAUCUACUGUAUUAUAUUUUGGCAGUUGCAGUAUCUGAGGUAUGUUUUGCAUUUAACUUGCUUUGUUUGUUUUGCUUGUGACUUAAGAACACCAAUAUUUGCCAGAGAUUUAGAGAAGCAUAUCAAGAUGCUUGGCAAACUUGACAAACUUCAAGAUCCUCCAUUCUUCACAACGCAAAACUUGUGAGUACACCUAUGCCCGCAAUUAUUGUGAAAUGCUUGCAAUUUUGAUGCACUGAAAUGGUUUGUUGAUGCAAAGGUUUAAACUUUUAAGAUUCACCCUGCAGGGUAGUUGGAUGCUGUAUAAUCGAAAAGCGACCAACAUCAAGAAUUAUGACUCCAAGACCGGGUUUGCAUUAAUUCAAUCAGCUGAAAUCAUGAUGCAAAUGACACUAUCAGCUGGACUUAGAGACCAGUCAGAUCAAUCAUCCUUUUAUCAACAGUUAAUGUCAUGAUGGUGGCUAUCGGAGGAAACAAAGGAUGUGUCGGAAUCAAUAUGAACAGUGAGAAGAAUGAGAGGAGCUUUGAUUACAAGUAGGCUCAAUGAACUCAUGCUGGUAAGUGGUAAUUAAAGAAAUUUGUACGCUUAGUAGAGUUUCAAUAUUUUCUGUUUGGGAUAUAGUUGAUAAUUUGAUACUCUGAUUAAGAAGCCUGAUUAUAGUAGCUGACUUUUUUUUUGUGGUUUGCUGUUGUUUAUUCUUUCGAUUAAUUUCAACAUUAGGUUGAUCUGUUGAAGAACAAACUUGGGUUUGAUUAUGCUUUAACUACAAGGAAGAGCCAGGCUUGGAUGCAGGCGUUCAGCUUUUAAUGGGUAAGAACAUAUGUAUGCUUUAACCAUGUUUCUCACUUAUUACAAUGCAUGCAUUGAAGGCAUCUGAGCUGAUCCUGAAAAUGUGAUGGAAAUACUUCUCUGUUUACAUAAAACAGGACAAGAGAUCUCUGAUCAUGCCUGAGAAUUCGUUGCAUUUAAAAUUUCUACCAUUGCCAAAAAUAGAAUAAACUAGGGAUAGAUUAGCUUAAGACUCAAUUUUGAGAAGGAAGUUUGCACAUGCAGCCUAAAAAAUCAUGUCCGUGUUGUAUACUUGUAUGUUUCUUUGGGAAAUGAAAGAUUCUGUGUGUUCUUUUGUUUCAAGUUUGCUGAAAUCACAUUUGUUUUCUUAGAUGCUUUUGGGAAGGUAACAACAUCAAUUUCAUAAAUGCUGGGGUAAGAUGCAUCACGCAGUGCUACUCAACAUGAGAAUUCCCGGCCGCAUUACCUGUAUGUUGAGUGAUCGCACAGUACAACCUUUAGAAGCUUGUAAGGAGUAGACAACUAGAUGCGAAUAGUUUCAAUAUGGAUUCGCAUCAAAUGAUCUCUUGCCAGUGAUUACUAUAACCCCUAUCCCAAAAUUCUUGGCAUUGGUCAUACCAAUAAUGAAGUAUUGUGUACGUUGAAGACAUAGCUCAAGGCCUUGCGAAAGCUCCGUCAGCCUUUGUAUUGGAAAACAGUUGGUUGUAGUUGCUUCUGAGUGAUAUUAUUAAUAGAUACUGUAAAAAUGAACUGUGCCACUCAUUUUCAGAGCCCUGUUAAGAUGUGUUGGUAAUGUGUUUGAAGGUUGUUUGAUUUAUGUUGUAUUCAGCUACAAAUCAAAGAUUCAGAACAUGGUUAUGUUACUGGUUUCCAAAUCAAAAAAAUGCCUUGUGAUGUUAGUGUUCAUUUUUUUCACAGGAGAUCAGGUUCCCUGUUGAUGAAUCAAGAAGGCAAACGCAUCCAUGUCUUAAGUUCAAAUGUGUCUCUUCUAUUUUCUAUUACUGACUCCUUUAUUUUGAUUUCUUCAUUGUAAUGGAAUUGGUUUUUUAUUCCAAAUUAGUCAAAACCUCCUAGAGUCAUUAAGUUCUGUUAGCAUUUGAAGAUAGAACUAGAACUAAAUGAUUGACUGGAUUAAAUUCCGAUAAAGAAUUAAGUUAUAUAUUUAGAGAUAUUAUGUUUUUUUUUUUUUCAUUUGUUCAAUUUGGUUAGUGGUGAUUUCUUAAAGACUCAAUCCAUGUGCGUUUAUGCAUUUUUCUUUUGCCUUAAUUUCUGUUUCUUGGGGAGUUUAUACAGAUUCUUAUUUUAUGCUUCACAUGCCACAUGAAAGAUCGAAGCCUUUUGUGUGAUUAGAACUGACUUGCAUCACAGUAACUUUAAAUCACUGCGACAUUUUUAUAAUAACAGUCUGAGAUCUCCCUGCAGGAUUCAAAGCAUUUUAUUUUAUAUUAAACUCCUUUACGUGGGUUUGGACACUACCACAAGUUCUUUAAAUACUAAAACGAUUUUAAGUCUUUUGUAUCAUCUGAUUUAAAUACAUGAAAGCACUCGUGGCUGCAAAAAUACAGUUGGGGCUAUUUCUAAAGUCUUCAACAGCAUUUUCUUUUUAACCUUUAUCCUCAUGGUUGUUUUUGCAGUUGUUCUUUAAGAAAACAUUUAAAAGGUUCUCUUUAUGGAUUUUUGAAAAUAAUUUUAACAUGAGCAAUUUUCAGAAGCACUUUAGAUGUCUGGCAUUUAGGAAAUUUUAUUUCGGUGUCACAUAAAAUACUUAGGAAGUUAAAUUUAUUUAUUUAUGAGCAUGUGCCAGUGCCCAGUGGCAUCCUCUUCACUUGUGAUAGUCAAAUGUAUUAUACGAUACAAUAUUAGCUUGACUGUAGCACAGAGGAGAAUAGGGUUGGUGUUGGUCUGAACCAGCUUAUGUAACAGCUGCCAAAGGAUAAUUUAAUUGUACUUUGAGUAAAGCUUUUGCGAAUUAAACAAGUGAUAAUUUGUUUUUAUUAAGAAAAACUUAAGGAAUUAGGCUAUUUUAACUGACCAAAUUACACAUUAAAAAUUCAUUUACAAAAAUAGUUUUUAGUUAUUAAAAUAUUCCUAAAUUAAAUUAUAAUUAUGGACACUAAAAUAUUUUUUUUAUAUUUUACUCUUUGAAACUGUCUUUAUAUUCGAUAUUAUAUUUUUUUCUUAAACUCUAAAUUGAUUUUUUUUUUUGAUUAAUUUUAAAACACCUAUAAAGUGAUUCAUAUUGAUUUUAUACUAACAAACUAUUAUAGCACAUUCGAAAAAUAAUUAAAUCGUUCUUAUUUACAUAGUGAAAAUGCAAAUAGCUCGUUCAAAUGUUAAGGAAUUGGAGAGCUGCUGCUGGAGAUGAAAGAUGUGAAUUAAACAUCAGAAAAAAAAUUAUGUUUACUAUCUUGCCAGACCAAGCACCGAAAAGCAUCGUAAAGAAAAAUUAGAUAAUUUAGAAGAUAAAGCACGUGGAAUGGAGGCAGAAAGCAAGUAAUGAUAACUCUUUCGACAAACUAAUAUAUACCAAAAUGCAAUAUCAAAAAUGAAAAUAAAAAUUCAUUACGAAUACGUGUUAAAGAUAUCCCAAGUAUAGAUGUGACUGAAAUAUUUGAGAUUGAAGAAGAAUUAAGACUCAAAAUCAAUUGGGAGGAAUAAAUGAGAAACCUCAAUACCAAAAAAUACACGCGCAAAUCCUAAUACUAAUUGUAAUUGCAGAUAAAUAGCAUAAUACGAAUAAAUUCCAUGGGCAACUAUUUCAUUGAGAAAUUAAUUAAAUCGUGUAUUAAUAUUUUGUAUACAUAUAUUUUUCUAUAUAUGACUUUCGGUAAUUUAAUUUUCCACUUAUCAUUUUUACUCCAAAAAAAUAAUUGAGAAUAUUAUUUAUGUUUUGGUGCAAAAUAUUUGAACAAUAUACAAAUUUUCAGUUUAAUAAAUCUAAACAUCUAUUAAGUUAUAAAUGAAUUUAAUGGGUUUAAUUAAUAAAAUUACUAUUAUUAUAUAAAUUGGAUUUAGUAAUGGUACAUUGGGUGGGUUUGUUGAGUAAAUUUUAAAAUUUUGAAAUUUAAGGAUGGGUUUAUUUAGUAAAUGAGUUAAGGGAGUAGUUUGUUGGGAUUCACAUAACGCCACCAAAUUCAAAUGUAAAAUUUAUGGAAAAAGAAGCUAUUGAGUUAUUCUUUUUAAAAAAAGAAUUAAAAUGUCAAGAAUACCUUUAUUUAAUUUUAUAAUCUUAUUUUAUAGUCAUAUUUUAUUUCCACCUUAACAUAAUUUUAAAAAACCUUAACUAAUAAAUUCUAUAUUUUUUUUAUAAAAGUUAUCAUUAAUAUCCAAACGGCUAAAGAUUUUUUUUUUUAAAAAAAAAGAAACUAUGCUUACAAAAGUUGUAUACAUUAACAAUAAAUUUAGUCCAAAGAAUAAAGUUAUUCCAAACAAGCACUCCUAUUCAUCUUGCUAAUGAAUCAAGAUGACUGAAUCCAUUCUCUAAGCCAAAUCUAUUUUCACUUCUAGGUCAGAAAUUGUCAUUAAAAAAGUGUUUGAUAAAAUAUGCUCUGGGAACACUAAUUCGUCAGAUGGUUACUCCAAGUUUAUGAAAUCAAUGGGGUUUCAUCAUAUUCAUAACAUUCUUCUUUAAUGUCUAUUCUAACAAAGAAAUUACUAGAAAACUUUUACUAGAAAAACUAACCACAAUUCAUCAUUCAUUUAUAUCUUAAGUAAGCGUAAGAUUUUAUCAUUAAAAUCUCAUCAUGAAAAAACUCAUGGGAGAAAAACUAUAAAAAUUGAAGAAAAAAGAGUAUGGCGUGCAUGUAAAUUAUAUCGAUUUUAUCUAUAUGACAAAUAAGACUCUCUUUUACAAUGGCACGGAUGCUUCAUUGAGUAAUCAUGAUUCUUGCUGGUAGUGCUUUGUUGUAUCAAUCUGCUAGCUAUUCAGCUUUCUUUCUUUCUUUCUUCUUUUUAUUUUUUUUGUUUUCAAAUAGCUUGUGGUUGUAGAAAUAUUUCAAUUAAACUAUACUUAAGUACUUAUUUGGUAUAACUUCUUUACUAGCCAAAAGAUUUUUUUUUUGGUUUUUUAUAAUUUAAUUAUACUUUAACUAGAGUUUUUGGGAUUAAACAAGUGAUAAUUUCUCUCUGUUAAGAAAAACUCAAACGGUAGGGUUAUCUCAAUCCACCAAACUAUUUAUUAAAAAUCCACUUAUGAAAAUAAUUUUUAAUUAUUAGAAUGCCUCUAAAUUAAAUUACAAUUAUAGACACUAAAAUAUAGUAAAAAAAAUUUUUUUUUACUCUUUAAAACUGUCUUUACAUUCGAUAUCAUAUCUUUUUCUUAAAAUCUAAAUUGAUUUUUUUUUUAUUAAUCUCAGAACACAUAUGAAGUGAUUCAUAUUGGUUUUAUACUAACAAACUAUCAUAGCACAUUCGAAAAUAAUUAACUCGUUCUUAUUUGCAUAGUGAAAAGGCAAAUAGUUCAUCCAAAUGUUAAAGAAUUGGAGAGCUGCUGCUGGAGAUGAAAGAUGUGAAAAGCAUGGUAAAGAAAAAUUACAUAAUUCUCACUUAGAUGAGGAAGAAAAAAAAAAGAAUACAAUUAGAAUGAGAGGUAGCCAAUAGCCACUAGCCGCCGCCACCGCCACCAGUGAAACUAUUUCACAUAAUAGAAGAUAAAGCACGCGUAAUGGAGGCAAAAAGCAAUUAAUGAUAACUCUUUUCGACACACUAAUACAUAUCAAAAUGCAAUAUCGGUCCUAACAAAAUGAAAAUAAAAAUUCAUUACGAAUAUGCGUUAAACAUAUCCCAAGUAUUGAUGAUGUGAUUGAAAUAUUUGAGAUUGAAGUAUAAAUAAGACUCAAAAUUAAUUGAGAGGAAUAAAUGAGAAACUCUAAUACUAAUAAAAUACAUUCACAAAUCCUAAUGCUAAUUAAAAUCACGGAUUAAAAAAAAUAAUAUGAAUGAAUUACAGGCGCAACUGUUUCAUUAAGAAAUUAAUUAAAUCGUGUAUUAAUAUUUUGUACACAUACAUUUUUCCAUAUAUAACUUUUGGUAAUUUAGUUUUCCACUUAUCAUUUUACUCCAAAAAAAUAAUUGAGAAUAUUAUUUAUGUUUUGGUGCAAAAUAUUUAAACAACGUAUAAAUUUUCAGUUUAAUAAAUCUAAACAUUUCUCAAGUUGUAAAUGAAUUUAAUGGGUUUAGUUAGUAAAAAUGCUAUUAUUAUAUAAAUUGGGUUUAGUAAUGGUAUAUUGGGCAUUUAAAUGGGUUUGUUGAGUAAAUUUUAAAAUUUUAAAAUUUAAGGGUGGGUUUAUUUUAGUAAAUGGGUUAAGGCAGCAAUUUCCCAAACUAAAAUUUUUAGAAAAAGAGGCUAUUUAGUUUUUUUUUUUAAAAAGAAUUAAGAUGUUGAGAAUACCUUUAUUUACUUUUAUAAUCUUAUUUUAAAAAAUUUACCCAAUAAAUUUUAUAAUUUUUUACAAAAAUUAUCAUUAACAUCCAAACAGCUAAAGAUUAAAAAAAAAAAAAAAGAAGGGAACUGUACUAGCAAAAGUUAGAUUAACAAUAAAUUUAGUCCAAAGAAUAAAGUUAUAGCUAAAAAGUGCUCCUAUCCUAUUUUUCUCUAUUUUAACAAUAAUCUUCCAAUCCAUUUUACAAUGGACUUAACAAAUGGGCUCAAUCUCUAAACUUCAUUUUCUUUUGCUAACCCAUGGCCAUUAGCCAGAAAGCCUAAAACAAUUUUAGGAUCACAUGUGUAAAUGGAACUCCAAGAUUGAUCAAGAAUUAACAAGACAAGAUGAAGAGAUGAUCUUGUAACUAAGAAUGAAGAAAUUGAAUCAAGACAGUACUCUAGUAAAACCCAGAAAACAGAGCUUGAAGAAUCACGCACAAAGCAGUAAAUUUGUAAAACCAGAAUUGGAGCUUCACUUCUCAAGAUAGACGAAACAGGAUACAAUCUAGCUUUGGUCAACUUCGUUUGGCCACGUCAUAAAGUCUUCCCCCACAGUCUUUCCCGCCAAAACAGAAAAGCUUUAAAAGCCAUUUACCCUCCUGAGUUACUUGCUCCUAUUACAUCAAGGCCCUGUAAGUCUAUAUUUAUUAUUACAAAAGCACCCUUAAACCGAGAUUUGAGAUAUUUUUUCAAAGAUCGAAGCGCAUGAUUUCACGGCUAUGUUGCAUAGUGAAUUUUAGUGCUUUACAGUUAAGGGAUAGUUUAAAUUCAUUACAAAGCAUUCGCAAAGAAAUUGUUUUUAAAUGAAACUCCUCGUCUUGACCAGAUUAUUUAUUAUUAUUAAAAAAAAAUGUUCAAAACUUAGCCAAAGUGAUAAACUCGUAAUUAUUCUACAAAGGGAACAAUUUUGAACGGUGGGAAAUUCCAUAAUUAUGCUUUUCUGUGAAUUAUUUUAAAUAAAAUUAUAAAAAUUAAUAUAAAAUUAUAAUAAUGAUAGAGCCACAAAUUCUUGUACAAAUUUAUUUUAUACAAACUCAUGUGGCAUGAUAAGAUUGGUUGAAUUAAAUAUUACUUGGCCCACAUGAUUUGUUUUUAUUAUUUUAUAUUUUUAUUCAACCAAUAAAUUAAUACCACGUCAGUUUGUACAAAAUAAAUUUAUACAAAAAUUUGUGACUCGAUCAUCACUCAUAAAAUUAAUACCCGGUAAAGACUGUAGAGAGACAAGUGCCCCCAACAGAAUCAAGUGAAUAUGCCCCACAAAGAUCACAUGAUCAUUUCUGUUCUUUUUCUUUUUGAUAAUUUUAUCUGUGGUUUCAACUUUUAUGCUUUAUUGUCGUAUCCCGUUGAGGGCUCCGCUGCACCCAUUACAACUUACCCCUAAAUUGCCUCUUACUAACUAAACCGUUAGAUUUUAUGGAAGCACGUUCAAUGUUGAAUUUUAAUUAUGUCAUCGAAUUUCGUUUAGCUCCUUAAACUCCAUUUUAUUUGUAAUUUCUUCAUAAAAUAUUCAAAGCUUCAUCAAGCUCCUGAUGGACCAUCAUGGCUAGGGGUGCAUUAGAGCCGAACUGAAAUAUGUUAGUUCAGUUCAGUUUGGUCAGUUUAAAUCGAAUGGUUUAGAAUAUAUAAACUGAUCAAUUUUAAUUUUGAAUUGAACCGAACCGAAAAUCAAUUGGUUCACUAUUAGUAUUUUUGUAUAAACAAGAAUGAUUAGUGAUUAUAAUUAAAUUGGACUAAAAAAAAUUCAAACUAAGGUGAAAAAUAUCAAAUCUUAGACAAUAUAAAAAAAAAUAUUAAAUUUUUUUAACCGAAACGAACCGAAUUAUUUUGACUCAGUUUGGUUCAUAAUUUUUUAAACCAAACUGAUUUAUUCCCACCCCCUAAUCGUGGCUCUCUAUCUUUAGUCAUUCACCCUUGAGUUUGAUGCCAAUUGUUGGGUUUCAAAUGAUUAUACACUCAAAUGGAACCCUCAUAACAAAAAACUAACAGAAACAAUAAGAACACGAUGUUAAAAUCUUAAAUCAAUCGCAACGGUCCUUUUUUUUCCCCAUUCUUGAACCUAAAGUAUUUGAGUAUGCAAAUUAAUAAAUAAAUUCAUUUAUUUUUAUUAAAAUUUUGUAAAAUUAUAAUUUUUAAUAAAAAUAAUUAUUAAAAUUUUGUAAAAUCUAAAUUUAGAAAAAUUCAGUUGGGCACCUCUAUUUGAGAUUUAUUUUUUAUUAAAUUUAGGGAUAUUUUUAUAAUUAUAAUUUUUAAUUUUAAAAGUUUUUAUAAGAUAAAAUAGUCUUUUAAUUUAUUUAGGGGUAAAAUUGAUGUUUUAUUAAAAUUAUUUAAUUGUGUUAAUGCAAAAGUGACUAUUUGAUACAAAUGUGAAAAGAAAGGUGGUGCAAAAUAUAUGUUAAAAUUUUAUAUUGGUUGGAUGAACAUAAGCUAAAAUAAAGGUGGUGCAAUGAUAAUUUCCCUAUCCUAAAACUUAAUUGACUUAAUUCUUAUGGUGCAAGGAAGAGGUUUCCAAGUUUAAAUCUAAAGGCUUGUAUUUAAUUUGGGGUUGGGAAAGCACUGAGAAAUAAAUGUAACUAAGGAAAAAAAAAAAGUCAUGCAGUCCAAAUAAGUAGACAUAUUUAAUAUGAGGUGGGGAUGGGUGAACUGUAAUUCAGAAAAAAUAAAAUAAAAUUUCAUAUAAAGUUGAGGGUGUGUUUUAAUGGUUUCUUAUGCUGCGUUUACUUUUUGGACUAGAGUGAGAAUUCUGAGAAGUGGGAAUCCUGUGAUUAGGUGUGUGGAGUGGGAAUGAGAGUAGGGUAUUUACUUAGACUAAAUAAAAAUAUGGAUUGUCAAUCAGAAUCUCAAUUAUUUGUUACUUUGUCUUGGAUUGAGAGUAAAUUAUUUUAAAUUACAAUUUUAUCCUUAUGUAAAGAAUUAUAAUUUGUAAUUAAAAAAUUAAUAAAAAUAUAUUGGAAAAUAAAAUAAAUAUUUUAUUAUAUUUAUAAAAUAAUAAUAAUUAAUAAAAUUCUUAAUUAUGUAAAUCAUAAUUUUUUAUUAAUUUAAAUUUAAAUUAUGUGAAUAAAAAUUAUUAAUAAUAGCAACACAAAUGAAACAUUAUUAUUGAUAAUAUAGUAUAAAAUUAAUAUUUUUUUAGAAUAAAAUAUUUAUUAUUAUUAAAUAAAUAAAUAAUAUUUAUUAAAAUUAAUGUUUAAUAUUAUUAAUUUAAAUAUAAUAUUUAUUUAUUUUUAUUUUAUUUUAUUAAAUUUAAUAAAAUAAAUAUGUUAUAAUUAUUAUUUUUAAUAAAUAUGACAUUAUUUAUUUUAUUAAAUAUUAUUUAUUUAUUUUAAUUAUGAGGGUAAAAAUAAAAGAGGGGGAGUGGAUUCCCACUCCCACCUCCCCCCAUGGGAGUGGGAAUCCCACUCUCCCCUUAAAAAUGAUAAGUAAACACUAGAAUGGGAAGAAUCCACACUCUACACUUUCUAAAAAAUAAACACUACCUUAAUUUAAAUUGAUUUGUUGGAUAUUUAGCUAAAAUGAGAGUAGCUCUCUAAUAAUUAUUGCAUUAUUACAAACAUAUCCAACGGUUAUAUAUGCUUGCCUGUGGAAAUAAAAGUCCCAAGUUUCUUUGAAAGGUAAGCUAGUGUGAAUGUUUUCAUCCGUGCAACUUACUUGAUGAAUGAAGUUUUCAUCCCUGACCUUGAUGUUUCUGGUGGCUACAAUCAUUUCAGCUGAUCUAUUCCAUUUUGUUAAGGUGAGAAUUUAGAGUGGCUUUAACUGUUAGCAAAUAGCCUAAUGUAAGACUUGAUCAACUUCCUGCCCUGUUGUAUGCUUAUGAAUUUUGAUAGAGUUAUGAGUUUGCAGAAGCUACUGUAUUAUAUGUUGUUAGAGGCUGUAAAAAUGAGGCAGAUCAAACACACAUUUAAAUUUCAAUGACAAUUUACUAGAAGUAAAUUUCCUAUGACCCUCCAGGUGACUAAUCAAUGAGAACUUGACAAUAACAAAAGAAAGUGUAUGAGCUUUGCAGGCGGGCACGCCAAUCUUGACUGCAUGGCACCAUCCGCCAUUUGCAAGUGAAUAUCAUUAUUGUUUAAUCAACAUGGUGGAGUCCACUGGGACCACACCACAUGGUCAGUCUUAUCUCUAUUCCUCAAUUUUCAGUAUUCCAUACAUCAAAACAAUUUCAGUUUUGUUAUCAAUUAUAAUUUCAUUGUUGGAGACGAUUCUGAUUCCUUUCUUUCUGACAAAACGGAACCAUGGUUGCUGUGGGAGAGAUCUUACUCAACGCCUUCUUUCAGGUGUUGUUUGACAGGUUGGCUUCCCGUGAUUUGCUCAGCUUUGUCCGUCAACUUGGAGGCGGGGUCGAUUCCGAGCUCAAGAAGUGGGAAAGAAAGCUGAAGAUGAUUCAGGCGGUGCUCAACGAUGCAGAGGAGAAGCAACAGACUGACGAGGCUGUGAAGAUGUGGCUGGACGAUCUCCAAGACUUGGCUUAUGACACUGAGGACAUUCUUGAUGAGUUUGCUACUCAAGCCUUGGAAAGCAAGUUGAUGGCGCAAAAUCACGAUAGUUCUGGCCAGGUUCUCAGUUUCAUCCCGGCUGGUUUGAAUCCGAAUGCUAUUAUGUUCAAUUAUAGCAUGGGGUCCAAGAUUAAAGAUAUCACUAGCCGGCUGGAGCAACUCUGCCAAGAAAGAAUUGAACUUGGACUGCAACGGAUUACCGGAGAGGCAUCAUCAACUGCUGCUGCUGCUGCACACCAGAGGCCACCCAGUUCGAGUGUCCCAACAGAACGUGAAGUAUUUGGAAGAGAAGAAGAUAAGGCCAAAAUUCUUGAUAUGGUAUUGGCCGAUACCCCAAGUGAUCAUGCAAACUUUGUUGUAAUACCCAUUGUUGGCAUGGGCGGGAUAGGAAAAACAACUCUUGCCCGGGAAGUCUACAAUGACAAGGCCGUUGAAGAUUCCAAGUUUGAUGUAAAAGCAUGGGUUUGCGUAUCUGACGUCUUUGAUGUUUUGGGCAUCUCAAAGGCACUUCUCGAGUCAAUCACCCGCAGGCCUUGUCUUCUAAACAGUUUAAAUGACGUGCAGGUUGAGCUGAAAGCAGCUGUGGAUAAAAAAAGGUUCCUGCUGGUCUUAGAUGAUGUUUGGAACGAGGACUACAGCUUAUGGGUAGACUUAAAAGCUCCGUUACUGGUUGCUGCACCAAACAGCAAGAUGAUCGUCACCACACGCAAUUCAAGUGUUGCAUCAACAAUGAGACCCAUCGAUCGUCACCACACGCAAUUCAAGUAUUACGAUCUCAAGAGUCUGUUAGAUGAUGAUUGCUGGUCCAUUUUCAUAAACCAUGCAUUUGAAUCUACAGACCUUAGCGCACAUCGAAUUUCAGAAUCAUUCCGCGAGAAAGUUGUUGGCAAGUGUGGGGGCUUGCCUCUAGCAGCAAAAACACUCGGGGGCCUUCUUCGUACUAAAACGCAUGCUGAGUGGGACGGUAUAUUGGAUAGCAAAAUAUGGGAUUUACCUCGGCAAAGCAGCAUUCUCCCCGUGUUAAGAUUGAGUUACCAUCAUCUUCCUUCUCAUUUGAAAAGAUGUUUUGCUUUUUGUGCCAUCUUUCCAAAAGAUUAUGCAUUCACUGAGAGGGAGCUGACUUUCUUAUGGAUGGCUGGAGGUAUUAUUCGACAGUCAAGAAACAAUGAGCAGCUGGAAGAUUUGGGCAGCAAGUGCUUUGGUGAUCUAGUGUCGAGGUCAAUUUUUCAACAAACAGCAAUCUCUGAUAGUUCUAAAUUUGUAAUGCACGACCUUAUCCAUGAUCUUGCUCAAUUGGUCUCUGGAGAAACCAUAUUUAGGUUAGAGGAGGCCAAUACUCUGUCAAGAAGAUUUGAAAGGGUUCGCCAUUCCUCCUAUGCCCGUGAUUGGUGUGAUGGUAGAAAUAAGUUGGAGGUUUUCAAUGAAAUUGAACAUCUACGAACAUUCUUGCCAUUUUGCAUAAGAGGUGGCGUUACUUCUGGUUGGAUAACUAGCACGGUUCACUACGAUUUGUUGCCGAAGUUCAAAAGGUUGAGGAUGCUGUCUUUAGAAGGAUACCAUAUUGGUGAGUUACCAAUUCCAUUUGAAGAUUUGAGACUUUUAAGGUUCCUCAACCUUGCUGACACUGACAUAAGAAGUUUACCUGAGUCAACAUGCAAAUUGUUGAACUUGGAAAUUCUGAUAUUAAGAAAUUGUUCCCGUUUGACAAAGCUUCCCCAGAAAAUGAGGAAUUUGAUCAAUUUACGUCAUCUGGAUAUAAGAGGUGCAAAGCAGCUGAAGGAGAUGCCAUUUGGAAUGAAAGAGUUGAAGAAGCUUCAAACGUUGUCCAAUUUUAUUGUAGGCAAGGGUGAAUCUGCAUCUGGUUUGGAAGAUUUAAAAAGUUUAGACCUUCUAUGUGAUGAACUCUGCAUUGCUGGAUUAGAGAAUGUGAAUAGUCCACAGAAUGCAAGAGAAGCCACAUUAUGUGAGAAGCACAAUCUUGAAGCAUUGACCCUAGAAUGGGGGUCUCAAUCUGACAGUCCUCGGGAUGCAGUACUAGAAGAGAAGGUACUUGACACUCUACAGCCUCAUGAACGUAUAAAAGAGCUGGCAAUCAGGAACUAUGGUGGUGCAAGAUUUCCACCUUGGAUCAGAGAUCCUUCGUUUCCCGAGAUGAAGGUCCUUAAAUUGGAGAACUGUGACGAUUGUGAAUAUCUGCCAUCACUUGGCCUGUUGAGUUCACUUAAGCACCUUGCUGUUAAAGGGCUGAAGAAACUAAAAAGCAUAGGGUCUGAGGUUUAUGGGGAGGGUUUGUCAAUGCCUUUUCCAUCAUUGGAGGUUCUAAGUUUUGAGAAUUUGCCUGAAUGGGAGUAUUGGGACACCAAUAUCAGAGGAAAUGUGCUCGUUGAAAUGUUUCCUCGUCUCCAUAAACUUUCCAUUGUGGAAUGUCCCAAACUCUCUGGGGAACUGCCUGAGCUCCUGCCCUCCUUGGAGACACUUGUUGUUAGUAAAUGUGAAAAGUUGGUAGUUCCAUUGUCUCGCUAUCCGAUGCUCUGCAGAUUAGAAGUUGAUGAGUGCAAGGAACUAGCAUGCGGGACUCCAAUUGAUUUUAAGUUGAUAGAGUCUGUGACUAUUUCAAAUAGUUCCUUAGACAUGAAUGGAUGCAAGGGGAUGCUAUACGAUGGUCCAGCUGGCUCUUCACUGCCAAAGCCUAUGAUUACUACAAAUGUUUCGGAGUUUGGAAAAUUAUUGAAGCCUGGAUGUCAAAUAUUAGAAACUUUAGUAAUUGGCAAUUCUGGACGGCUCAAGUCAUGGAGGCAGCAUGGGGAUUUUCUAGAAGAAUAUAUGGUCGCUCACCAAAGGUUUAAGAAACCAGUACAAGGGCUAAAUAUGCUCGCUUCCCCUGAAGAGGUAACAAUUGAAGAAAGUUGUGUGAGUUUUGUUUUGUUUCCAGAGAUCAAUUUCUUUCCCAGAAAUCUGCGCUCUCUUCUAAUUUGCAACAGCACUGCUUUGAAAUCCUUACCCGAGGAAAUGAUGGAAAACAAUUCACAACUGGAAAGGUUGUAUAUCAGAGAUUGCGACUCUCUAACAUUCAUCGCAAGACAGAGGCUACCAGCAUCUGUUAAAAGGCUUGAGAUAGAAAAUUGUGAGAAAUUGCAACGUCUGUUCGAUGAUGAAGAGGAUGCUUCUUCUUCUUCUUCUUCUCCUUCAUCCUCGUCUUCCCCAGUGAUGCUGCAACACCUGAUAAUAGGGAAAUGCCCAAAGCUCACCAGUUUAUUAUCGGGUGUCCAAUUCCUUGAGGCGCUUGAAUUCCUCAAGAUAGAGCAUUGUCCAAAGCUGGAGUCAAUACCGGAUGGCCUGCCCAAUCUUAAAUGUUUACAGAGCAUUUAUUUACUCAAUUGUCCAAGUCUUGUUUCCUUCCCAGAAAGAGGGCUUCCCCACACCAUUUCAUUUGUUUGCAUUUGCGGAUGUGACAAGCUUGAAGCCCUGCCCAAUGACAUGCACAAACUCAACUCUCUUCGACAUUUAAGCAUACAGCUCUGUCCAAAUCUUGUAUCGUUUCCAGAAGAAGGUUUUCCUACCAAUCUAACAUCACUUACAAUUGGAGAUUUCAAAAUGUAUAAGAUACUCGUCCAGUGGGGGUUGCACAGGUUUACCUCUCUUAGACGCCUCUAUAUCGUUGAUUGUGAUGACGAAGCAGAGUAUUUUCCAGACGAGGAUAUAGGAAUGACGCUGCCCACCUCUCUCACUCAACUGGAACUUUCGGGAUUCAAAAAAUUGAUAUCUCUGUCUUCGACGGGUUUUCAGAGCCUCACCUCUCUUCAAAGAUUGCGGAUCUGGGAUUGCCCAAAUCUCACAUCAUUUCCAGAGGUGGGCCUUCCAUCCUCACUUUUGGAAUUACACAUUUACAAAUGUCCAAAGCUUAAAAAAGCGUGCAAAAGAGAUCAAGGAAAAGAGUGGCCCAAAAUUGCUGACAUCCCUUGCGUUGAGAUAGACAAUAAAUUCAUAUACGAUCCAGAAUAAGAGGAGUAGAUUCUACUAUUAAGGUCAGUUGAUUUGUAUUAUCCGCUAUAACAAGCUCCUCCUUUUUUUUUUUUAAAUAAUAAUUUUGCAGUCACUCACGUGAUUCCGUUUUCACAAGUCAGAUUGUAUGUUGAGGCUAUUUGCCUUUUAGUCGCAGAUUAAAUUAUAACACUUAUCUUAAAAUUUAAUACCAUAGACAGAUAGACGAUUUUUUAAUCCAAAGUUUUUUUUAUUCACUUCAGUUAGCAUUUUUUUUUUUCCCCAAAUCAUGCAAGCCGAGAGUUUCAAUCAAGAAUUGGAGCAUGGGAAUGGAAUUUUUGUGAAAACAUAAUGGAUGAACGAACAUUUCAUCUGUGAUCUCAAAGUCAACAGAAUUUUAUUCACUCAAUGACUUUUCAACUGCUGUGGUUAUUUAUGGGUGAAAGAAAGAUAAGGGCAAUUACAAAAAAUUUGCAAAAUUUGUCAAUUUCUUAGAUGGUAGAUAUAUCGACAUUUUAGAUUUCAGAUAUUUGUCACCAAUUUCAUUCCUUUUUUUUUAUUUUUUCAAGCAAGUUUGACUAAUUUUAACCAGAAUUGGAGUAUAAUAUUUUGGAGCAAGCAUACUUGAAAUUUCUGUCUUCAAUAUUUUGAUGCUUUUUUAAUUUUGGAUCUAGUAAAAAUACAUAGCCUUCACCGGCAGGAUUCUAGUCUUGGCUUUCACCUCUCUAACUCAUCCGGCCCCAUUGGGAUUCCAGAAAUUGAAAUUUCUGUCUUCAAGGGGUUUUCAAAGCCUCGCCUCCCUUCGAUUUUUGUGGAUCGGGAAUUGCACAAAUCUUACAUCAUUUCCCGAGGUCGAGGAAAAGAGCGGCCCAAACUUGCUCGCAUCCCUUGGGUUAUGAUAGAUGGAAAAUUCAUAUACGAUCCAGAGUCAGAGGUGUUGAUUCUCUUAUUAAGGUCAGCUGAUUUCUAUUAUCCACUCUGACAAUCUCCUAUUAGUGUUUUUCCCUUUUUUUUUUUCAAAAUUUUGCAGUUCCGUAUAAUUGAAAAUGCCACUCACUUGUUUCCUAUUAGUAUGUUGAGGCUAUUUGCUUUCUAUCGGUGUUUGUUAAGGUAAUUACUCACAGAUGAAAUUAUAACUUUUAUCUUAAAAUUUAUUGCCAUUGACAGAUGGACGAUUUUUAGUCCAAAGUUUUGUUAUUAACUUCAAUCAAAAUUUUAGAUUGCAGAUUUUUGUCAAUUAUUUCAUUUUUUAUUUUUAUUUUAAAGCAGAAUUGGAGUAUAACAUUUGGAGCGCGCAUACUCUGAUGCAUGCAAUUAACUGUUUUUAAUCGUUGGAUUUUGAAAUUAAUGAUGGUAAGAUGUGUACUUAUUUUUUCUUCCGGACAACCUUGCCUUCUUUCUUCGGUAGCAUAUCUAAUGAAUAUUUCUCUGUUUAGUUAAGGAUGAAUGCUUGGAGUGGUCUGAUUCACAACAACACCUCUUCCAGAAAAUAUGAUACAAGGCAAAGCCAUGUUCUGAAGCAGAAAUGAUACAGCAGUUGCGGUACCCGAGGUACCUUUUGCAUUUAACUUGCCUUUAUUUGUUUUGCUUGUGACUUAAGAACACAUCAUUUCCCAGAGAUUUGGAGAAGCAUCUCAAGAUGCUUAACAAACUUGACAAGCUUCAAGAUGCACUUGCUCCCAAGCAUUGAUUCUUCACAAUGGAAAACCUGUGAGUACACUUAUGCCCGCAAUUAUUGUUAAGUGUUUGCAAUUUUGAUGCAGCGAAAUGGUUUGUGGAUGCAAAGCUUUAAAACUGUUAAGAACUACCCUGCAGGCUUGUUGGAUGUUGUAUACUUCAAAAGCCACCAACACCAAGAACUACAACAGCAAGACUAGGUUUGCGUUGCUUCAAUCAGCUGAAAUAAUGAUGCAAAUGACACUAUCAAGCUGGACUUAGAGACUUGUCAGGUCAAUCAUCCAUUUCAUCAACAGUUAAUGUCAUGAUGGUGGCUAUCAGAGGAAACAAAAGAUCUGUUGGAAUCAAUUCAAACAGUGAGAAGCAUGAGAGGAGCAUUGAUUAUAAAUAGGCUCAAUGAGCUCAUGCUGGUAAGUGGUAAUUAAGAAAUUUGUGAGCUUAGUAUAGUUUCAAUUUUUUUCUGUUUGGGAUAUAGUUGAUAAGUUGAUACUCUGAUUAAGAAGCCUGAUUAUAGUAGCUGACUGUGCUAACUGCGUUCUUUUAUUUUUUAUUUUUUUGGUUUGCCGUCGUUUUUUCUUUUGAUUAUUUGUUCAACAUUAGAUUGAUCUGUUGAAGACUACGAGGAAGAUCCAGACUUGGAUGCAGGCGUGCAGCUCGUAAUAGGUGAGAACAAAUGAAUGCUUUAACCAUGUUUCUCACUUAUGACAAUGCACGGAUCAAAGGCAUCUGAGUUGAUCCUGAAAAUGUGAUGGAAAUAGGUCUCUGUUUUCAUAAAACAGAACAAAUAGAGAUCUCUGAUCACGCCUGAGAAUUCAUUGCAUUGAAAUUUCUACCAUUGGCAAACAUAGAAUAAACUGGGGAUACAUUAGCUUUAGACUCUAUUUUGAGGAGGAAGUUUGUACUUGCAGCCUAUAAAAUCAUAUCCCUGUUGUAUGUUUCUUUGGGAAAUGAAAGAUUCUGUGUGUUCUUUUAUUUCAAGUUUGCUGAAAUCACAUUUGUUUUCUAAGAUGCUUUACAGAAGGUACCAACAUCAUUUUCAAAAAUGCUGGGGUAAGAUACAUCGUGCAGUGCUCCUCAACAUGAGAAUUCCUGGCCGCAUUACCCAUAUGUGGAAUGAUCUGAGAGUACAACCGUGAGAAUGUUGUAAGGAGUACACAACCAGAUGUGAGUAGUUUGAAAAUGAAUUCGCAUGGAAUGAUUUCUUGCCAGUGCAGAAAUGGCUUGGUUCAAAAUAUGCUCAGCUUCAUUGACACUCUUCGGUAGGCCUCUCCGUCCUUCCAUUCUUAACUACAAUACUACUCUUGUCUGUCUAGUUAUGGAAUCUCUCUUUUAAUCCUCAAAGUUUGAAUUAUAUUAUAUUGCCUCUGUGUUACCGCAGAAACUGAGUCAGUUGGUGAUCCUUCAAAACAAGAAAAACCAAAAACAGAUACAGCGCGCGAUAAGAUAAUGAGACAGAUGGCUCCCGUUGCUGCAUGCCACUUGCUUGUGUGCGUAUUGGGACCAUCAUCAACAACAUUGACGUAAACCCAGCUCAAGGUGGGAAGCUAGUUCGAGCUGCAGGGACGUUAACCAAGAUUUUGAGAAAGAACCCACUUCAAGGUGUUGCUUAGUUAGGCUACGUUGUGGAAAUGAGAAAGUGAUUGACCCUAGAUGUCGCGCCACCAUUGGUACAGUGUCUAACCCCAGCCAUGGAGCUAAAAAGCUUAGUAAGGCAGGUCAGAGAAGUUGGUUGGGUCGAAGAGCUGUGGUUAGAGGAGUAGCCAUGAUUCCAGUUGAUCACCCUCAUGUUGAACAAAGCAAAAGUAGCGGUAACAAUGGAAGGUGUUCACUCACACCUUGGGGCAAGCCUUGUAAGUCUGGGAAUUAAACUGCAUCUCCUAAGAAGAAAGAGAAAUCAGCUGUCUGAUAAUAUUGUCCUUUUCUGCUAUUUGGUCUUUUUAACAUUGUUACACUGUUUUUACAUCUUUGAGGUUAGUUUUAGACCAAUUUUUAACUGAUCCAUAAUGAAACUGAAGUUUAAUUUUUGAUUAAACUUUCACUGGUUUUACUCUUCUGUCACUUCAAUUUAGCAUUGAUUUAAGAUACUGAAUUCUGUGCUUGGAGCUUGUAAAUUGGAAAGAGAUAUUUUGGGAUAGAAUGUAGAUUUUGUGUUUUGCUUUCUCAAGCUAGUUGUGACUUCUUAAAAGAGUCAAUCCAUGUCUUUAUAUAUUUUUCUUUUGUCUUGAUUCUGUUUCUUCAUACAGAUUCUUAUUUUAUGCUUCACAUACCACAUGAAAGAUGAAAGCCUUUUCUGUGAUUAGAAUUGACUUGCAUUAUAGUAACUUUAAACCACUUGGAUAUUUUUAUAAUAGCAGUCUGAGAUCUCCUUAAAGGAUUCAAAAGCAUCCACUGGCAUCCACUUUACUCGUAUCGGUCAAAAGUUUUGUGCAAUACAAUAUUAGCUUGACUGUAGCGCAGAGGAGAACAGGUUGGUGUUGGUCUGAAUUCUGAUAUUUGAAUAAAUAUAACAGCUCAUGUGACUCCACCACUUUUUACUUGUUCUGUAGUCUGUACCUACCUCCAUUGUCGGCACUGCCCAUACAAGGUCUUUUAGCUUUUUAAAAAGUUUCAUGAUAUUCCAUAGUUCACAUGGAUUUCUACAGUUUGUAGAAAACCUAAUUAGGGCACAUUUAAUUACUAUGCAGAAGAUUCUUUUAUCUUGCUCACCAAUAAUUCUUUGUACUUAUUUGAAAGAUGUGUUUCAAAAAAAUAAAAAAAAACUAUUUGAAAGAUGAGAAAUCCCUUAGCCGAACGACAAACUCAUCUAUCAGUCCUAUCAAAAAAAAAAAAACUCAUGUUUUAGUGGUUUUUUUUUUUCACUUGUAUUCAGUCGCACAAGUGAAGAUUGUGGGCAAUUUUUUCCUUGAGUAAAAUUGGAAUAGAUGUUUUUAUUGACACAAAUUUUUGAGCUAUGUUUGGGAAACCCUUAGACUUAAGACUUUGUUACGAUGAUAUGUAUCUAAGCUUUCAACAGACCGUUGAGGUCUUAUUAUCAAAAUACUAGAAAUUUACAAUUCAAUUUUGGUAAGGACCAAUUUAAUAAUGCUGUAAUUUUUAAAAUAAUUACCGUUAACUGUGUUGUAAAAAUAAUCAAUUAUGAAGAAAAUUAAUUAAACAUUUAGUAAACUUUAUUUUUACAAGUGCUUUGAAUUUUAAAAAUAGUCAUAUGUGUUCAGAAAAUCUCACUUCUAAAAUAGUAUAAGAAUGGAAAAAACUUAAAAAGACAAAUGUAUAAUAUUUAUUUACACAUGCAUUUAUAAAUAUGUGUAUAUAAUAACAUUUUAUGUGUACAUAUAAUAAUUGAUAACUAAAAUAAAUAUUUUUAUUUAUUAAUUAUUUUUUUGUCUCAAUGUAAUUGGUAAUACUUUUUUUUAAUCUUCUCAUCCUAAGUUUUUUUAUUGUUUUGUACAAAAUUCAAGGUUUGGACUUUUAUAAAAUGUCCACUCAAAAAUAAAUUGUUUUCUAACUAAGAUUUGUUGCUAAUGUAUAACUCAAAGUAAUACUAGCUAUUUGUAAUUUUAUUUCAAAAUUUUUAUUCAAAUGAUAUGGUAACUAAUGUACAUUAGUUGAUAGCAAUUUUUUUUUUUUUACAAUAUUCAAAUCAAUCAAUUGCAUCAUCUCAACAUUUUUAUGAUGUCGUGUUAUUUUAAACGAAUUUUUUAUUUUUAUAUAAAAUUUAUUAUGUUUAACAUCAUUUGCAUAACUUGACCUUUUUUUUUUCCUACAAAUAUUAAGUCAAAUUUACUCACCCUAUAUUUCUAUCUAAAAUCUACCUAAAACUCAUGCAUCACUGUAAAACAAAUCCAAAGAUUGCGGUACGUUUUUCUUGGUAACAAAUCAAUAAUUAGGUCAAGUACUACUACUAAGCGUGCUCAAUUAAUUCUAAAAUACUACGGUGAUCAAAAUCAUACUUGACGCAAGAGGAUAAGGGCUAAACCUCAAUUAGGCAUUAUUCAUCCAAAAUUCGUUGACCCGGCAUUCUUUGCAAGUUGUAGCACGGGACAGCUAAGAUUAGCAAAUGCUGUGGACCAUAUGCCCCCAUACAUUUGUGACAUGUGAAACUUGGCAUUAAAGGAAAGGCAACGUGUUAAAAUUUAAUAGCGCCCAAUUCUUCAUUGAAUGAUUAUCAGAUCCAAUGAGCAUCCUUUGAUUGGAUUAUUUUAAGUCAAUUAUUGGUGGAUUGGGGCCCACUUGACUCUACCAAAUCGGGCUCCACCAUAUCACCUAUUAACGACCACCUGUCCUUAUCAUAAAUAGCAAAUGUCACUUGUUUUAUUUUGUAUUUUACCAAAAGCAAAGUCACUAUGAACCCAAAUGAAAGUGACCCCAAUUUUGGGGGUCAUGAGCUUUGGAUUAUUAUGGACACAAGAGACAAGCGCAAAGUUUCUCAUUUAUCACCGGAUAAGAUUUAAGUUAUCAACCCAACAUUAAUAAAUUCUGCUUAAAGUAAAGUUUGAAGCUUCAUUUUGCGAAUAUUCAAUGGUUAACAUUUAAGUAAUUAACCUGAUAUUAAUCCAAUUAAACUUUUUAUGUAAUCCAAGUCAAAAAUAUGUUGAUAAACCUAAAUUAAUCUAAUUGGACAUAUUAUUUCAACUUGAAAAGGCGAAUCUAUCAUUUUUCAAUUAAUUUUGAAUCAAGCUAUGUAAAAUAUAAGCUUAUUAAAGACAUAUUUUUAUCAUGUUAAAAUAUCGAAAUACUUCUUACUCGUUUCGUAAUAACAUUAACAAACCUUUUGGUAAAUUUGACAGUCCAAUCAAUUCAGUUGGUUUUUUGUUAUUGAAACUCCAACAAAAUUCAUCACGAUUAUUAAAAACCCAUUAAAAAAAAAUGAAGGUAACUAUUUAAAAAAUUCUAAUUGAAUUAUUUAACAACUACAUUUCAACUAAAUUGUGUUGCUAAUUAACUUCCUCAACUUAAACUAUAUUUUUCUCAAUUAAUUCAUAACAAAUAAUGUUAGAUAUUUUAUUCGAAUAAUAACAUUCAACAUCCUUAUUCUUUAUGAUUAUUGCAUAAAAACAUAUUUUAUCCAUUUACAUCACAUAUGUUCCUAAAUUGUAUAAGAAAAUCACCAAAUUUACUCUUGUAAGUUACUAUAUCAAUGAACAUGAAAUUCACUAAUCAUUAAAGUCUCGGAAUGACAUCAUGAGAGGGAUUCAGUUACAUUUAUUGAUAGGAUUAGAUAUAUGUCUUCUCAAAUAUUAGUAGGAGCAAUUUAACAGAUGCAGCUACUAAAAAUAUAGAAUUACUUAUCUCGUCAAUAACUAACGAUAUUUUUUAUCUAUGCUCAAUAAAUUGUAAUAUUUGUAGAUUGUAACAAUUGUUAAAAAAAAAGAGCUCCCUGAGACUAAAUGACAAAAGGACUGUUUUGAAAUAGAUAGAUAAAAUAUGCCCUUAUUUGAGAAAAUGUAAAACACUAGGGAUCUAAAUGUUAUUAUAAUCCCAUGCACAAAAAUACCAAAAAUAACUAAUAACAACUAACCGAAAAUCCCAGGCGUCAUAUUCCUUUUUUCCGCGUUUUAAAAUGCCCUCUGAUUCAUUCACAGUCAGACGCUGUCGGCAUUUCUCUUCUCUCCCUCUCUCUCCACGUAUUAAAACAUGUAAAGUACGGAAAAAUUUAAAAAAAAUUUUAAAAUUACAUAAUUUAAAAGAUAUAAAAUUAUAAAUUUUUAAAAUUAUACGGUUUUAAAAUUUUUUUAAAUUUUUUCGUAUUUUAAAAUUUCAGACUAAAAAAUUAUUAUACGAAUACUUCGUAUAACCGCUUUGCGCUUAAAAUCUGUGCCUAACAAACUCACGAAAUCACUCCUCAUUUUCCUCUCUCCCUCUCCUCCUCUCAUUCCCUUUCAAAUCCUUCCACCACCUUCCCCGCCUCUCUCUCUUUCUCUCUCCCCUCACCGCCACAGCUCAACUUUUCCAUGUAAACCACCACGGGCGCCGUCGUUUCAACCUCCCACUCAUCCGACGUCGUUUUGUGUGAAUAAGAUAACGAUUUAAAUUAAAAUACGAAAAUGGAGAACUUAACGGCGCAGUUGAAGCGAGGGAUAUCGCGGCAGUUCUCGACGGGAUCGCUGCGGCGGAGCCUGACGAGGCAGAUGUCGAGGCAGUCGUCGUUCGAUCCGAGGAGGAAUAACAUGAGGUUUAGCUUCGGGAGGCAGUCGUCGUUGGAUCCGAUACGCAGGAGUCCGGUUCAGGACGAGUUGACGGUGCCGGAGAACCUUGACUCGACGAUGCAGCUGUUGUUUAUGGCAUGCAGAGGUGACGUCAAGGGAGUCGAGGAUUUGCUGAACGAAGGCAGUGAUGUCAACAGCAUUGAUCUUGACGGACGGUUUUGGCGAGAAAUCAAAGAAUUAAGAGACAAUAUUUAGUUAAGCUAAUAGUAUUUGUUCUGUUUAGUACGUCGUUUUACCAACAAGCAUCCCGGCAUUGCACGCAUUAAUAAAUUUUUUUUAUCUGUUUGGACUGAUGGUGGUAAAAAAUUCCACAUACUUUAUAUUAAAAAGGAAAAAGGACAAACACACCCCUAACGUCAACUUGGAGGGGGGUCGAUUCCGAGCUCAAGAAGUGGGAAAGAAGAAAGCUGAAGAUGAUUCAGGCGGUGCUCAAUGGUGGGUAUGACGGCAAAAAUAAGUUGGAGGUUUUCUAUGAAUUUGAACAUCUAAGAACAUUCUUCCCAUUACACAUAAGAGGUGGCUCCAAAACUGGUUACAUAACUCGUAUGGUUCUAACUGAUUUGUUGCCGAAGUUUAAAAGGUUGAGGGUGCUAUCUUUACAAGGAUACCAUAUUGGACCAAUUCCAUUUGAAGAUUUGAGACUUCAAAGUAUAAUUACCCAAAGUGUAUACAAUAAAAGCCAAAUUUAAGAAAUUCCUGAACCUUGCUGACACUGACAUAAGAAGUUUACCAGAGUCAACAUGCUCAAUGUUGAACUUGGAAAUUUUGAUAUUAAGAAAUUGUUUCCGUUUGAUGAUACUCCCACCCAAAAUGAGGAACUUGGUUAAUUUACACCCAGACUCUUUUCUUUUGACAUGGGGUUAACGAUCAAAGUUGGUUUCGUGCGGUAUAUAUUUACAAAUUGAUAGGUAUGCCUGGUGUUGAUGCAGGAUUCCGGUUCUUCUCGUUCUACGACCAGGAUCUCUGCUCGAUCAACUUCGUCACGACCAGGAGGUCUCCUCGCAAGACUUUUUCUCCAGAGAUUCCUGCGCACACAGACAAGUCAGAGUACGCCGGUUGUUUUCCCGGCGCAAACCCUCCGACGCUCAAGUCAGAUAUGAAGGUUCGGGGAACGCUUGCCACCGAUCUUAUGGCUUUUUCGUGGUUUUCUCUUCUUUUUAAUUCCUUUUCUAAUGAGAAAAAUGCCAACCCUUUUACCUCGUCGGCUACCUUUUUAUAGGCUUCCUCUGAAUCCCAGUUUUCCGCUCUUUUCGAGACGGUAUGGGACUCUGACUGCUGUGUUAUGGGCAAACGUGGGAUCUUGCGUGUUACGCCACCGUUCUGGGAAAAGCGCGGCAGUCGUGGUUCUGUGAGAUCUUGCGUGUUACGCCACGGUUCUGGGGAAAGCGUGGCUGUCGUGCUUAGGUUCUCGGGCUGGAGAGCAUGUCUCGUCAACUGCCGUCGACCGGGUCUCCUCGCCUCUCGACCUCUAGCCGGAAUGACCUUAUGCCUCUUACAGGAAAUUGGCCUCGCGGAUGACCUGCUCGUGGACGAGCAGGAUAUUUCUGCUCCUGUUCCCCCGCGUACCAGGCUUUUACGGGACACACCGGUUCGCAGAACUCUGCCAUCAGAUAUCUGCUCACCGUGCCUGGUCUCGUCGACGUAUUUCUCCCAAACACCGGUCCCCCAGUUUCUGGUGUUGGGUAAUGUAGUGGACCAGCAGUAGAAACUCGUUAGUACUCGCCCGCGUGGGAUUGGAAAAGGCUGCCAAGAGUCAUGUCGCAUUUAAUUGCGGACGAGGUGACGUGGCAGAAAUCCCCCCCUCCAUUUGAAUUUCAAACCGACGGUUAUGAGAUCCUCGGGAUUCAGCGCCGUUAAAUGCUGGCAACCCAAGAGUCCGUCCUCAUUAGGAAAACCAAAUCCUCUCGAACGGCAUAUUCGUCAUUCACUCCGUCUCCGUCUCUGUCUCCCCGGCAAAGAGGUUCCGGCAUAAAAGCCCUCCAUCUCUGAUUUUCACCGACUGAACCGUUACUUCAGGUAUUUCUUCUAUCUCCUUGGUCUCGGAUAGUUGUAGAUAAUUUCUCUUCUCUUCUGUUGGGUAGUAGUUGGUGGUGUUGUGGUUAGAGCUUAGGGAAUGUCGAAAGGCAAAGAGAAGGUCAUUGAGGUUGGUGACGACGAGUUGGACUUCCUGCCUAGUCUGCUCACCGAUCCUGCUUUUGACCCCGGGAUCCCCUUAGAGCCCAUUAGGUCUAGUGUCGGGACUAGUGCUAGGAGGAUGUCUCCCCAAACAACCUCUACGAGCGGAAGUAAUGGUGAGGAGAGAUCUUCUGGCUCCGAGGAUACUUUGAGUGAGAAUGGCGAAGGUGACUCUGGUGAGGUGUCUCCAUCUGGAACAUCACGACCAGAAGAACGGGGUAUAGUAGGAGGCAGAGCCUUGUCGCGCGAUUAUGCCAUUGAUUACAUGACGUGCACGACCUCGUUUGACGAGCUCAAUGACCUCCGGCUUAGGUAUAGCAUUCCUGGUGAGAUACCUCUCAAGGUCCCAGGAAAGAAGGAUGCUCCCAGCCGGCCUCCUAGGGGAUAUGUUACCCUGUAUCUGGACAGCUUUAAGUACGGGCUGAGGUGUCCCUUGCAACCUUACUUUGCCCGGAUACUUAACGGGCUAAAUCUAGCUCCUGGUCAGCUGAAUCCCAAUGGGUGGAGAGUGCUCUCUGGUCUGUUCAUAUUGUGGGACAGAUGUUGCCAAAGCGAGCCCACGGUUGAUGAGGUGAAGCACCUGUACCAGCUAAAGAGCAGCCCCAAAGAUGCCGUCUGGUACUACUUCCAAUCUAGCACCAAGAGCAGGAAACCUAUAACCGACCUCCCUACUGGUGGUGGUGGGAAUUGGAAGAGAAAAUUCUUUUUUGCUGGGGGUCCUUGGGGUCAGGUUGCACAAAUGGACGGGAAGGAUUAUCGGGUCCCACCCCGUUUCACGGUCCCAGGUUGCCUGCUCGCUUUAGAUGUCUUGUAUCCACAAUUGUUAUUGCUUUAUUGGCUUGUCUCUAACCAAGUGUCUGUUUGCGUUGUAGUUUCUUGGGGUGUUCACUUCCCGCUCCCACCUGACCAGCUCAAACGGGUCAAGGCUGUGCUCGCCAAUUCCUGCUCGAGUCGAGAACUGCUAACUACAUACAACUUGCUCGAAUCUCGCUUGAUACUUCCUGGCCAUAGGAUGGAGGACGCCGUGAUUGGGGCUCUGACCCGAAAACGUUCUCGACCUCCAACCACGAAGAGGGACCAGGGUAAGGAUGCCCCUGCUGCAAAGCGGGCCAGCAUCGUGCAGCAGGUCCCACCCUUGGAGAUUUUACCUCCUGCUCCUGAAAAAGUCGGGGAAGCUAGUGGAGCAGCCACAGAUCCUGCUUCCUCAUCUGUUCCUGUCGGGCCUCGAUCUCGCUUACCUGACAGCCGAGCAGAACACCUGGUCCCCUACCUCAAUGAGUUGUCUAAACUCGUGAGCAAGAAGGACCUGGAGGACUUCGACGGCUGCACCUUGGGUGAGCUGGUGGGGGCCAUGCAGCAUAGCGCUUUCCACCUCAGCUGCAUGACCACCUAUUACAAGGCUAAGGUUGGUCGAUACGAUCGGAAAAUGAAGGGGGAUAUUCAAUCGGCGACGACCAGAGCUGACAUUGCCGAGAAGAAAGCAGGGGAGCUGAACCUCGAGAAUCUGAAGCUGAUAGAGCAAGAAUCACUUGCUCAAGCAAAGACCAUUACCCUCGAGGAGGAGCUUACCAAGGUCAAGGAGGAUCUGCAAAGGCAGAAGGCUAUGUAUGAGGCCCAGCUCGAAUCUCUCCGGGACUCCAACCGAGCUCAGGUCGAGAACUUGGAGAGGGAGGCAGAGAAUCAGUACGACCAGGGACUUCGGCAUUCCUAUCGUUGCAUCAUGGCCGUCCUCGGGAAGCAACACCCUGAUCUGAAGAUGGAUGACCUUGCGGCUGGUGUUGCCCAACAUAUGGACGAGGAGGCGGCCAAGGAAGAUGCUGAAGGGGUAGAGCCGAUCGUGAUCGAGGAGGAAAGCUCUCCUCCUCGUGCAGUCCCUGCUGAUGUUGGCGAGGCGAGCACCCCUCCGGACGCAACUGGCGAUACCCCUCCCGCACCUGAGGAGGUCCAGUCAACCGAUGCUGCUCGGCUCACUGAUCUACCAUCUUUUUGAUAUAUUUCUUUUUGUAUUGUAAUAAACAACGUUUAUGAAAUUUAUCCCCUCUGUUAGCCAUUAACACAUUAAUAAAGAUGUUUUUUGAUUACUUUCUCGUCUUGUAAUCAUCACUUAUUUUCCGUUUGGGAAUCUGCUCGUCUCGUCUGGUCGAGCAGGUUCUGGUUUGGCAUAUGGUUUUGCAACAUGCCUUAGAAAAAUUUCUUUUUUUUUUUUUUUUUUUUUUUUUUUUUUUUUUUUUGCUUGGGGAUUCUGCUUGCCUUCGCGUGGUCGAGCAGGUCCUGGCAUGCUUGGCUUCAGUCUCGCCAUAAAAAGGCUUUGAGACUUGGUGAGGCCUUUGCAUGCCUUAGAAAACUUUUUCGAUGCUUGGGGAUUCUGCUCGACUUCGCUCGGUCGAGCAGACCCUAGCAUGCUUGGCUUCCGUCUCGCCAUAAAAAGGCUUUGAGACUUAGUGAGCCUUUGCAUGCCUUAGGUGGCUUCUUCAAAGCUUGGGAUUCUGCUGCCUUCUCGUGGCCGAGCAGAUCCGGGCAUGCUUGGCUUCUGUCUCGCCAUAAGACAGGCUUUGAGACUCGACGAGCCUUUGCAUGCCUUAGAUGGCUUCUUCGAAGCUUGGGAUUCUGCUGCCUUCUCGUGGCCGAGCAGAUCCGGGCAUGCUUGGCUUCUGUCUCGCCAUAAGACAGGCUUUGAGACUUGACGAGCCUUUGCAUGCCUUAGAAAUUUUCUUGGUUUCAAGCGAAAGGAAUUCCUCGACGUUCCAUUAAUGGCAGGAUUCGGCUUACAUGAACUUGUUUGGACAUAAAGCGUGAAAGAUAAACGAUAAUGAUCAUGAGCAAAAAUAGCUUUCAGAUGUGAACAAAUCUUACUGGAAGUAUUUUCGGAGGUGUGCUGCGUUCCAUGGGCGUUUCAGCUCGUGGCCGUCCGUGCGAACCAGCUUGUAAGCUCCGGGUCCCGCUAUCUGCUUGACUCUAUAUGGCCCUUCCCAAUUCGGUCCCAGCACUCCUUGAGUCGAAUCUUUGGUGCUCUGAUUCACUCUUCUCAGUACCCAGUCUCCGACCUUGAAUUGCCGUAUGUUCACCUUCUGGUUAUAAUACCGAGCAACCCUCUGUUGGUAAAGGGCUGAUCGCUCGGCUGCUUGCUCCCUCCUUUCCGUUAGCAGAUCAAGAUUCAAACAUAUCUGCUCGUCGUUCUCCUGCUCGUUGAAAUGACCUGUCCGGUGUGUGGUCGUUCCUAUCUCAGCCGGCACGACCGCUUCAUGUCCGAAAGCCAAAGCGAACGGUGUCUCCCCAGUUGCGGUUUUGUGGGUUGUUCUGUAUGCCCAUAGCACACCUGACAGCUCGUCAACCCACGCACCCUUUUUUGCUCCAAGCCUGGUUUUCAAAAGCCUCUUGAUGGUCUUGUUGGCUGCUUCUACUUGUCCAUUCGAUUGAGGGUGAGCAGGCGAGCAAUACUUCAGCUCUAUCCCGAGGUUCUGGCAGAAAUCCCUGAAGCUGUGAUUAUCGAACUGCCUGCCAUUAUCCGUUACCAAGGCAUAAGGGAUCCCGUAUCGACAGACCAGGUUUCUCCACACGAAGUCUGUUGUUUUCUUCUUUGUGAUCCUGCUAAGGGCUUCUACCUCUAUCCACUUCGUGAAGUAAUCUAUAGCAACUAUUGCAUGUGUUGCUGCUCCUUGUGCCUUUGGCAAUGGGCCGAUCAGAUCAAUUCCCCAUUGAGCAAAUGGCCAAGGGGAGGCCAUGGAGGUGAGCUUCUCUGGGGGUUGGUUAGAGAAAUUUGCAAAACUCUGGCAGCUUACACAACUCCUGGUCUUCUCUUGCGCAUCCUGGUGCAUUGUCGGCCAGAAAUAUCCCUGCCUAAGAACCUUGUGGGCCAGGGACCUCCCGCCAGAAUGAUUUCCGCAAAUUCCUUCAUGUACUUCUCUCAGUACGUAAUCCGCGUCGUCCUCAUCCAAACACCGAAGGAACGGUAGUGUAUAUCCUCGCCGAUACAGCGCCCCAUCAAUCAUCGUGUAUCUCGAGGCCUGGGCUCUAAUCUUGCGAGCUCGCAGCUUAUCUGGUGGUAAUACUCCGUCUCUAAGGUAUGAAACUAUCGGGUCCCUCCACGAGCAUUUUUGUUCUAUCCGCAACACCCCCGAAUUCUGAUCGAUACUUGGGCUGGACUUCACCUCCAGAGGGACCGACUUUGGCAUUUUUGGGUCGGCUACUGCUGCCAUCCUCGCCAAAAUGUCUGCUCGACUAUUCUGCUCCCUGGGGAUCUGUACCACCUCCACUGCUUCGAACUUCCCCAUCAUCUGCCUGACUAUCUUCAGGUACUGCUCCAUCUUCUCCUCUCUUGGUUGGAAUCUUUCACUGACGUGAUUCGCAACCAGCUGGGAAUCAGUUCUGAUCUUAACUCUGUCUUCUUUCACGGCCUUAGCCAAUUCCAGACCUGCUAUCAAGGCUUCAUACUCUGCCUGGUUAUUUGUGGCUGCAAAUUCCAACUUUACAGCAUAAGAGAUCUCCUCCCCCUCAAGGCCUUCCAGGACAAUCCCUGCUCCUGAACCCCGCUCCCCUGAUGACCCGUCCACAGACAUCUGCCAUACUUGAUUUUCGUCAUUGCCUAUAACUGCAUCCUGUUGAUCUGAGCAUACUUCGGGCUCUGUGAAUUCAGCUACGAAAUCGGCCAUUGCCUGGGCUUUUAUCGCUGCGCGGGGUUUAUAGUCUAUGUCGAACUCGCUCAGCUCUACAGCCCACUUGACGAGCCGACCAGAGGCAUCUGGCUUGUGCAGAGUUUGACGCAAUGGCUGGUUUGUUAUUACCGAGACCGGGAAUGCUUGAAAAUAUGGCCUCAACUUCCGAGCAGCAACCACAAGGGCAAGUGCCCAUUUCUCCAACAGUGGGUAUCUAGUCUCAGCGUCGAGUAGGGCCUUGCUGGUGUAGUAUAUCGGAUACUGAACUCCUUCUUCCUCUCUCACCAGAACAGAACUGGCGGCCCGAUCCGACACCGCCAAAUACAGAUACAACUUGUCCCCAUCCCUUGGUGUGGACAGCAGCGGAGCUUGCUGCAAGUAUUGCUUCAAGUUCUGGAAGGCUUCCUCGCACUCUGGGGUCCAUUCUGUUUUCUUUCCCCUCCUUAUCACUUGAAAGAAUGGCUGACACUUAUCUGUAGCCUUGGAGAUGAAUCUGCUCAACGCCGCCAACCUCCCUGUGAGGCUCUGCAUCUCCUUCAGGUUACGAGGAGACGUCAUUUGCACAAUCGCCUGGAUUUUCUCGGGAUUUGCUUCAAUCCCCCUAUGGCUCACCAUGAAUCCAAGGAAUUUCCCUGACUCGACCCCAAAAGCACACUUUUCCGGGUUGAGCUUCAUCUUAUACUUCCUCAAAAGCUCGAAUGUCUCCUCGAGGUGUCUGACAUGUUCCUUCGGGAUUUUGGACUUGGUGAUCAUGUCAUCCACGUACACCUCCAUGGUUUUCCCAAUCAACGGCUUAAAGACUUUGUUCACCAGCCUUUGAUAGGUGGCCCCAGCAUUUUUGAGACCGAACGGCAUUACCCUGUAACAGAACAAACCUUGGUUAGUGACGAAAGCCGUGCUCUCCUCAUCCUGCUCGUACAUGGGGAUCUGGUUGUAUCCCGAGAACGCGUCCAUGAAGCUGAGCAGACCAUGUCCAGCCGUUGAAUCUACUAGCUGAUCGAUCUUUGGUAGAGGGAAGCUGUCUUUUGGGCACGCCUUAUUGAGGUCUGUGAAAUCCACACACAUCCUCCACUUGCCGUUUGCCUUCUUUACCAACACCACAUUCGAUAUCCACUCAGGGUAACUGACUUCCCGAAUGAACCCUGCUCUCAAGAACUUCUCCACCUCGCUAUUUAUUGCCUCAUACAUCUCCUGGUUGAAGCACCUCCUCUUCUGCCUUACUGCCCGAGCACCUUUCUUUAUUGCCAGCUUAUGACAUGCUACCUCAGGGUCAAUCCCUGGCAUGUCUUCAUGUGUCCAAGCAAACACAUCAGAAUGAGCCUGUAAGCAUUUCACCAACUCCUGCUUUUGCUCUCCCUCAAGCCUCGACCCGAUUCUGAUCAUCUUUCCCGGAUUCUCUGGUCCCAGGCUUACUGUUUCCAGAUCUUCUACAGGUUCUUGUCUGCCCUUCUUGUUUUCCACUCGGGUAUCGAGGGAUGUUAUCUGCAUUGCUUCCCUUGCUGCCGAGGAGUAGCAGCUUCUUGCGAUCCUCUGGUCUCCUCGUACCACUCCUACUACCCCAUUCACCCGGUACUUCAGAGCGAGAUAGUGGUUGGACAACACCGCUUUGCUCAUCCUUAAAAAUGGCCGACCUAGGAUCAUCUGGUAAGGACCUUCCUCGUCCACUACGACAAAGUCCAGUAUCAUUGUUCUUUCUGUCAGGGAGCUCCCAAUUGUGAUAGGCAGCUCGACCACGCCCAGAGGGACCAGCUUCCCUCCUCCGAACCCCUUCAAGGAGGUAUUGGUGUAUUCCAACUUUCGGUCGGCUAUUCCCAUCUCUUCCAGGGUUGACUUAAAUAACACAUCAACUGAGCUCCCUGUAUCAAUCAGUAUCCGGUCAAACUUCUUGCUAGCGACAGUAGCCUUGAUGACUAAAGCAUCAUCGUGGGGGUAUAGAAUCCCUUCCUCAUCCUCAUCCGUCCACAUGAUUGGCACUUGCCUGACCCUUGCUCGUUUGGCUGCUGGGGUGUUGAAGAGUACCUCUUUACUGGUCAUGGCGUACCUAGCAUAAUUUUUUCUCGAUCUGUUGGAAUCUCCGGCCAAUGUUGGGCCCCCAGCUAUCACCCUUACUGCGGGCUGCUCGCGCCUCAAGUUUCUACCACUCUGCUCCCCUUCACCUGUUGUGGCCACCAUCGGGAAAGUCCCAUCCAUAAACUCGUCCAGGUACCGAUUUCUCACCAAAUCUUCGACCUGGAUCUUGAGAUCUCUACACUCUGCCGUGGUAUGGCCAUGGGUGCCAUGGAACUUACAAUAACGUCUUCUAUCCCUCCUGUUGGGUAGCUUUGUUAUUGGUGUAGGGAGGUGCAGCAGACCUCGAUCCUUUAUGGCCUCGUACACCUCAUCCAGGGACAUCUUCAAGGAAGUGUACCGCCCAUAGUCCGGGUCCUGGUCGAUCAGGUGCACUGCUCUUUCUCUGUUUGCCCCGCUUUGAGUUGGGGGCGGUGGAAGUAAUUCUGGUCUGCUCGCUCUGCUACCAUGUUGGUGAAGACCACCAGAUGCCGACUCAUGCCUUCUCCAAGGCUCCCUAGCUGGGGAACGAGGAGGUUGCGCCCCGCUGCGCUGAUACUGUGGUGGCCUCUGAUGAGGCUGGUAAGCAGUUACCCGACCUCCUGCUCUACUACCGGAGGCCUGGUGGUCUCUCCUCCUGAUCGGCCCAUUCCCCGGUAAUGCUUUCUUCUCUUUCCUCCCCAACCCUUCCAACUGGUCUGUCUUAAUCCGUGCAGCCUUCUCCUCUUCAAUCUCGAUGUCUCUCUUAGCCUGUUCGUAUGCGGCUGCAUACGUUUGAAUAGCUGGGCUUCUCAAAUUGUACCACAACCUUCCUAUCUUCACCCCUUCUUUCAAUCCCCUUAACGCCUGAGGGUGGUUGAAGGCUCCCAAGUCGAGGACAGCCCGAUGAAACCUCUUGAUGAAUUCCCGAAGGGUUUCUUGCUCCCCCUGUUUCAUGCUUUUCAGCUCCAUCAUGUCGUCUUCCGGUGCCAUUGCCCCACUAAACUGCUCCGCGAAUUCCUGGCACAUCUGCUCGAAGGUUUUAAUGCUGCCCCGAGGAAGUUUCCUGUACCAUUCUCGUGCACGUCCCUCAAGGGAUAGUGGGAACACCCUGCACCUUUGGGAUUGAGAUAAUCCUUGUACCCCAGUUAUGUCGUUGAAGCGCUCUAUAUGCACCAGCGGAUCAGUUCUUCCCGAGUAUCUGAGGUCUGGGAGGCGGAAAUCUCUCGGAAUAACUGCCCUCAUGAUUUCUGUUGCGAGCGGCGAUUCUCCGUCCAGCAUUAUCCUCCAACCAGGGGCUCUGUUCCUUCCUUGCAUGUCGUCAAUUAUCUGCGCUAGUCUGCGCACUUCCCCCUCCAGCUGCAACGCACGACCAGGGUCACGUGCUGCAACUUGAUCCCACUCUUGCUCUACAUCAUGCAAGUGUUGCCUCAACUCUGUUUCCUCUGCAUUCACCACCCCGUCGCCCUCGUCACCAGUCUGUCUUGCUGGGGACUGCUCUCUUUCUCUAUGAAAUUCUCCCUGCAGAGGUACGUUACCUCUCUCACCACCAAAUCUCCCGGGGGUUUGACUUCUCCCCGCACUAUCGGGACCUGGUGCCACUCCACCGCCUCUCACCCUUCCCUCUUGGGUUACCCUUCGCUCGCUCCGCAGCUCAUGCAGGAUGGUUGUCAAGGUCUCCAUCUGCUUUUCCAUCCGUUCCAUCUGGUCGAACAUGACUUUUUCCCGUGCUUCGCUGACUAUCUCCCUCAGCGUCACGGAAUCGUUAAGCCUCCUAUCACCCCCUUGUGCACUACUUCUUCCUGUCUCCAUUGCUUUUCACUUGCUUCACCCCUCUUCUUGCUAUCAACAGAAGCUUUUUGCUCUGGUCCCCACAGACGGCGCCAAAAUGUUGAUGCAGGAUUCCGGUUCUUCUCGUUCUACGACCAGGAUCUCUGCUCGAUCAACUUCGUCACGACCAGGAGGUCUCCUCGCAAGACUUUUUCUCUAGAGAUUCCUGCGCACACAGACAAGUCAGAGUACGCCGGUUGUUUUCCCGGCGCAAACCCUCCGACGCUCAAGUCAGAUAUGAAGGUUCGGGGAACGCUUGCCACCGAUCUUAUGGCUUUUUCGUGGUUUUCUCUUCUUUUUAAUUCCUUUUCUAAUGAGAAAAAUGCCAACCCUUUUACCUCGUCGGCUACCUUUUUAUAGGCUUCCUCUGAAUCCCAGUUUUCCGCUCUUUUCGAGACGGUAUGGGACUCUGACUGCUGCGUUAUGGGCAAACGUGGGAUCUUGCGUGUUACGCCACCGUUCUGGGAAAAGCGCGGCAGUCGUGGUUCUGUGAGAUCUUGCGUGUUACGCCACGGUUCUGGGGAAAGCGUGGCUGUCGUGCCUAGGUUCUCGGGCUGGAGAGCAUGUCUCGUCAACUGCCGUCGACCGGGUCUCCUCGCCUCUCGACCUCUAGCCGGAAUGACCUUAUGCCUCUUACAGGAAAUUGGCCUCGCGGAUGACCUGCUCGUGGACGAGCAGGAUAUUUCUGCUCCUGUUCCCCCGCGUACCAGGCUUUUACGGGACACACCGGUUCGCAGAACUCUGCCAUCAGAUAUCUGCUCACCGUGCCUGGUCUCGUCGACGUAUUUCUCCCAAACACCUGGUAUGACUGCUUAUGCUGGAUUUUAUGAGGUGUGCUCUCCUAAGCAAGGAGAGUGGGUCUUAAUAUGGGCAAGGGUGCAGUUGGUCAGCUUAUGGGGCAGUUUGCAAAGUUACUGGGCUGCUAUGUUGUCGGAAGUGCUGGAAGCAAAGACCAGGUAUACAAACAAACAAUCCGUAUCAGUUGCUUGAUUGUUCCCAUUUUGCUUUCAAAAUAUCUAACUUACAUAAGGAAAAUUUUCACCAUCUCGUCUUUUCUUUGAUUUUGAACGCUAAGAUUGAUCUACUGAAGAAUAGGUUUGGGUUCGAUGAGGCGUUCAACUAUAAAGAAGAUCCUGAUUUGAAUGCAGCCUUGAUAAGGUUAGUAUAUCAGCAAACUACAAAUUAGAAGACAUUUUUUCCUGAAAAUCAAAUAAUGUUUCUAAUUUGACAGGUGGUUUCCUGAAGGCAUUGACAUAUACUUUGAAAACGUUGGUGGGAAAAUGCUCGAUGCGGUGCUGAUCAACAUGAAAAUCGGUGGUCGAAUUGCUGUGUGUGGGAUGAUCUCGCAGUACAACCUUGACGAACCCAAAGGCGUACACAACUUGACGCGUCUUAUUUCGAAACGGGUUCGGAUGGAAGGAUUCCUCGUAUCGGAUUACAAUAAACUCUAUCCGAAAUUUCUGGAAAUGAUCAUUCCUCACAUCAAGGGGGGAAAGAUUGUAUACAUUGAAGACACGGCUGAAGGUCUUGAGAGUGCUCGGGCAGCUCUCGUCGGUCUGUUCUCUGGCCGGAAUCUCGGGAAACAGGUGGUUGCAGUUGCUUCUGAAUGAAUGAAGGAUUUGGUUGUUUACAUCAUGCUUCUACUCGUCCAUUUAUUUAAUAAAAUGGUUACGCUCAAUGAGUGUAAUUUUUAUGAUGCUAAAUUAAAUGUGGAAUGUGGCUGCUGGUUUGAUAAUGUUAAAAGUGCUAAAAAAUUUCAUGUUAGGCGCGGUGUGCGUCUGUAUAUCAUUUUUAGGUACGGGCAUUCUAUCUUUUUUUUUUAAUUAAUACAGACACAUUCUUAAACUGUAUGGUUUAAGAGAGAGUUAAAAAAAACUUUUACCACAUGGUUUAAAAGCGUAUCCGUAUGGAAAAAAAAUGAAAGUCCAUUGGAGAAGAAUUUUAUAUAUAGUCCAGGAUAUUAAAGUGCGGGAAAACUAUAGAGUUUUAAAAACUUAAAAUUUAAAACGUUUAAACUGCACGAUUUAUGUGUUUUUCGAUGUGAUCCCACAUUUUAAAAUUGUGGAUUGGAACAUUUGUCUUUGAGGGAAAAAAAACAAUAACAACAACUUCUUUUGGAGACCGUGGGGCUCAUAUGCAGAUUCAACCCCGAGCUAUACACUGGAUCUGGUGGGCUAGGUUUGAACCCAAAACAAGCUCUAUUCAUUACACGGUUCAGCGGGUUGGUCCAUUUGACGCUUCUAACUUAACAAUUUAAUCAUAAUAAAUUGAAAAAAUAAAAUAAAACCCACGUAUCUAAAUUAUUGUAUUGAGCUAUUGGUGCAGAGAAUAAGUAUAUAUGAGAACAAAAACAACACGAUGUAGUCGCUCGUUUUGUCACUUCUAAAAUCAGGAUUUAGAGCAUCACCAAAAGGCUCUUCAAAUAAGAUUUUAUUACUCAUUUGAAGAGCCACAUCAAUAUUUAAAGCUCCAAAAGACACUCUAAUUAAGAUUCUUCAAAUAAGAAUUGAUUCUCUCUCUUCAAAUUUGGAGAGUUAAUUUCUCCCUCUUCAAUUUAUAUUUUAUUACUUUUCAUUAAAAAAAGAGAGAGAAGUGCUUUAAUUGCUAUUGACUUUUCCUUUUAAAAACUAAUUAUAUGAUUAAAAUAAUAUUAACUUAUUUCUAUUUGAAGAGUCUUUUGGAAAAUAUCAUAUUUUUUCACCCUUCUAUUUGCCACAUAGGUAAGCAAAUAGAUAUUUGAAGAGUAAAAUUUAUAGAGGCUUUUGGAGAUGCUCUUAUGAUAGAGUCAUAGUGUUAACAGUACAUCGGUGUAUAAUUAUUUGUAAUGAAAUUAAUUAAUAUGGGUUUUAUGUUGUCUUUGUCAAUAAUCAAUUAAAUUUUUCGUUUUCAUUUAAAUGUUACUGAUCGAUGAAACAUUUGACUGCGUUCAAGUUAUCUUUUAAUUUUGUGAGAUCCACAUUGUUUUUAUUUCAAAAACAUAAUUUUUCAUAUUAUUAAAAAGCUGUUGCUUGGGCCUAGAGAAAUUGGAUUAAUGAAAUACCUUAAGGGUGUGUUUGACACAUUAUAUUGUAUUAUGUUGCAUUGCAUUAUUUUAUUUGGUGUUGCACUAUACUUUACUAAUUUUUUUGCAAUUAAUUUAAAUUACAUAGUUAGCAAAUAAUAUUUAUUAGUGCUUAGAAAAAUACUAAAUAUAGAAGUCUUAAAUUUUAGAAAUUUAACAAUUUUUUUACUAUAAAUGUUAAAAAAUAUAAUAAUUCUUCAUAAAGAUGGAAGCUUACAGCCUUAAGUUUUUGGAAGCAGAGCAUUUAUUUUUUAGUAUCUUCUAAAUAUAUAAUUUUUGAAAUAAAGAUAUAAGCACAUAAUUUAAUCACAUAGUCUUUAAAUAAUAUAACAACAUAAAUAAAUAGUUAAAAUGUGCAAGAUUAGUUCAAAACUCAUCUUAGGAUGAUAUAAUAAAAGUUUAUACACACCACAAGAUAAUCACAAAAUAAUAAAGUGAUAAAAUUAUUAUAACAUAUUCACUACCAAAAUAAAUUAUAUUAAAUAAUCCAAGUGAGAGUUCUGUAGUUUAUAUAAUAAUAUUAUUUAUGUUAUUAUUAUUAAUUUUAAAUUAAUAUUAUCCAAAUUUAUUCAUACUUAAAUAUGUAUUAUUAGUUAUAUUACAUUAUUUUUACAUAUUAAUUAUUGUAAUAUAAUUAAAUAAUGUAAAAUUAUAUUAUAUUUUUAUAUACUAUUUAAGUAUUUAUUAUUAAUUAUAUUCAAUUAUAAAUUUAUUAAUAAAUUAUAGUGCAAAAAAAAAUAGAAAUAAAAAUUAAUAUUGUAUAAUAAAUAACAUUCUGCUCCCAAUUUCUGGAUUUUAAAUUCCAAAAAUAGUAUUCACGUUCGCCACAUUCAAAAAUCCAACCUGGGCUUGGAGAUUCGAUUCAUCUCAUAGAUUAAUUUUAUAAACUAAUGUUUAGUGAAAAAUUAACCUUAAUGGGUCCUCCUCUCCAGGCCUAAUUCUUAAUUUUUUUUUUAAUUUGGUCCUACUUAAGUGGCUUCUAACGUUACCGUGUCUUUAUUUUGUGUACAGUUGUUUUACUAAUUUGUCAUUUAGUGCAAAUAACAGCACUCAACUUGUAAUAUCCAGUAUCCACAAAUCAGCCACUUCGGCCAAGGCCGAAGUGGUGGGCUGCUGCCCUCACAAUGCUUGUGAGGGCAGCGGUUCUAGCCCCCACAAAAGCAUUGUGGGGGUUAAAUGUUCUUUAUAUUUCCAAAAAAAUCCUUCUCUCUUGCAAAAUGUAAGUGGAGUAUGGACAUCCCUCUCCUGUGAGGGGUUAUUUGUCUGGGCAUGUACUUCAUAGAAUUCAUUGUAAUAAUGUAAGUCCCAAUCAUGUAUAUCUGAUUGUAAAUAUCAGUGUAAUAUCUCUGCUACAAUAAGCAGUUGUUGUAAAUAUCUGUCUGAUGAUUAAUCAGUAUUCAAAAAAAAAAAAGUAUCCACAAAUCAUGAACUCAUUUUUUAGUUCUUUCAUGUGUACUAACAUUCGUACAAAUAUACAAUAAGUUCAUAAUUUAGUCCAAGUUGACGAGAAAUUCUUGACCCACCCCUAAAUAUCUGUCCGCCAAUAGCGUGAAGUGGCCGGCAUAAAUUUAAAGCAGCUGGGACAUUGUAACUCAUCCAAAGAUUGUAUAACAUCUCUUUUUUGCUUUAUCGUUUUUCUCCAGUUGCAUAGUUUCUUAUCCUACCGCUUUAAAAACAAUUAUUCCUAGAAAUUUUCAUUUAUCUAAUGAAUUUUAAGAAUUUUUUCAGCAAACAAUUUUUACUUUUUUUUUUUUUUAUCAUUGAUGGGUAAAGAAAAUAUUAAUGAAAAAUGAGGAGUUAUUGGCUGGUUCAACGGAUUAAUUGCAAUGAUAAAUACAGGGAGGAUUGGAUUAUAUGGCAAAUUUUUAUAGUAAAUGUAAUAUAUAUGCUAACACUUUUUAUUUAUGGCAAAAUAUCUUCCUCUUUUGAGACUUUUCCCUCUAAGAAAAUUGGAGGAUACGACAAUAUAUAUAUAUAUAUAUAUACUAAUAUUUAUCAUUUAUAGAAAAGUAUCUAUCCCACUUAAGAUUUGCCCCACUAGAAAAGGAAAAAAAAAUCCCUCAAAAUAAAAGAGCGAAAUGGAAACAGAACAAAAUUUGAUUUUGUGGAUCUUGUAUUGUGUGAUAAGUCCGGCAUGCAAUUUUGGGCCAGCUUACCGUGCGCAUGGGAGCAUUCACAAAGUAUCUCUCGUCACUAUCGAAAACUUUUAACAGUCAAUACAAAUGCUUCCGUUUCAUCCCAUAAACAAAUAAAAUUCACAUCUGUACACAUCUACUUUGCUUUGCUAGAUAGAGUUCCUCUGCAUUUCCCAAUUGCCUAAAGAGAAGGGGAAAAGAAAAAGAGGGCCAAAAAAUGCCUGAAAUGGUAAGGAACAAGCAAGUGAUAUUGAAGGACUAUGUGUCUGGUUUCCCAAAAGAAACAGACAUGUACAUGACCGAAAGUUCCAUAGAAUUGAAGGUGCCAAAAGGUUCAAAUGGGGUUCUUUUAAAGAACUUGUACUUGUCCUGUGAUCCGUACAUGCGACCAAGAAUGACCUACAUCGAAGGAUCUUAUGUUGAAUCCUUUAAACCUGGCUUGGUUAGUGCACUCGCUCAUGGCCACGCUUUUCAUUUCCAUGGCUUCUUGCUCUUUUGUUAUAGAAAAUUUAUUUUUGGUUGCAGUUUGGUUCGACUGCUAAAAUCUCGUGCGAUAAUUGUAUAAGAUAUCUAGAGUUUGAACUUCUUUCACAUUAGGGUUCAAGGAAGUUAACUUAAAUGAUUUUCAAAAUUUUAAAUGUGUACCAAUGAAUUUAAUUUCAUAGCUUAAACUUAUUGUUUGAUCAUACUCUAACUUUGGACAGGAAAAUUAUAUUUUUCCUUUUGUUCUUUGACUUCGUGUAUGUUGUGUGAAGUACUUGUGCUUGAAAAUGAAUUGCUGACACAGAAAUUUCUAUGAAUGCAUGCAGCCCAUAAGUGGAUAUGGGGUGGCUAAAGUUUUGGAUUCAGAGAAUCCAGAGUUCAACAAAGGUGACUUGGUUUGGGGAAUGACUGGAUGGGAAGAGUAUAGUCUCAUUACGGCUCCACACUUGUUUAAAAUUCAGCACACAGAUGUGCCUCUUUCUUACUAUACUGGAAUCCUCGGUAAACUUUUUGUUUGCGCAAUUUAUGUGAGCAAAUUGUGUCUUCUUUUUCAUAUGUAAAUGUUUUUGAUAUCUUGAUGUGAAGGUAGAAAAUUGCAUGUUUUGAGUUUUUGCAUAUUUGAUGGAAACACAGAACCGUACCUGAAUAUUUCAGAACCCCCUUUUCUUUGAAGUUUGAACACUUUUCUUGAAUGUAUCAACUUUAUUUAUGGGAUAUGUUGCCAAAUUGGCAAAUCUAUUCGUUAUAAAACUUUCCUUUGACAGUUUAAUCUAAGCAGAUGUUAAUUCUGCAAAUAGAGUGUGCCUUAGUUUAGAUUGAUAGAUUUGUCUCCUUCUGUACAGUAAAAACUUUGAGCAUUUUCGCCAUAUUCUGAUCAAUACACUCCAACUAGUUAGUUCUUGAGGCGUUUCCUGGUUUCGUGGAGUGAGCCAAGAUGUAUACGUUUGCAAAUUGGCAAUGUCUUUUGCUUGAUGUGUUGUGAGUUGUGAGUGUCAAUAGGAAAGUUUCAAAGUGCGCAGUGCUCACUUGAGCACCCAUAUUACUUGGUGACCUGUUGCCUCAGCAAACAAGACCUCUGUUUUAUGAACUCCAAAAAGUUAUUCUGUUAAAAAGAUCGAGACAGAGGCCAUACUAUAUUUAUUAUUGCUAUAAAAGUGUCAAACAAUAUUCUUUAUUUAAUAUUCUAAACGAUUGAGCCAUUUAGUUAUGAUACUCUGCUGUACUGGGGCUAAUAAUCUAAGUCGGUUCAAAGUGGUAAAUUUAUAAAUUGAUAGGUAUGCCUGGUAUGACCGCUUACGUUGGAUUUUAUGAGGUCUGCUCUCCUAAGCAUGGAGAGUGCGUCUUCAUAUCAGCAGCAUCUGGUGCAGUUGGUCAGCUUGUGGGGCAGUUUGCAAAGUUAUUGGGUUGCUAUGUCGUCGGAAGUGCUGGAAGCAAAGACAAGGUAUGUAAUCUGUGUGAACUACUUGAUUGUUUCCAUGUUACUUUCAAACAUUUAAAUUAAAAAGGAAAUUUUCAUAAUCUUGCCUUUUCUAUGAUUUUCAACACCAAGGUUGAUCUACUGAAGAACAAGUUUGGGUUCGACGAGGCAUUUAACUAUAAAGAAGAAGCUGAUUUGAAUGCAGCAUUGAAAAGGUUAGCAUCAAUAAAUGCCUUAGCUUGAUGCAGCUUGAUGAAGUAUGAUACACAUUUCUGACCAAUAUACUGCGUUCCCUGAUCUCUUACUUGAAAUAUCUUGGUUUGAGAAUCUCAUGCCAAUGCCUUUAACAUUUUGGCAGGUACUUUCCUGAAGGAAUUGAUAUAUAUUUUGAAAACGUUGGUGGAAAAUUGCUUGACGCAGUGCUACCCAACAUGAAAAUCCGUGGUCGAAUUGCUGCAUGCGGUAUGAUCUCACAGUACAAUCUUGACAAGCCUGAAGGUGUGCACAACUUGAUGUAUCUUGUUUCGAAACGGCUUCGAAUGGAAGGAUUCAUUGUUCUGGAUCACUAUCACCUCUAUCCAAAGUUUCUGGAAAUGAUCAUUCCUCACAUCAAAGAAGGGAAGCUUGUAUACGUCGAAGACAUGGCUGAAGGUCUGGAGAGUGCUCCGGCAGCUCUCAUCGGUCUAUUCUCUGGCCAGAAUGUUGGGAAACAGGUGGUUGCUGUUGCUCCUGAAUGAAGAACAAGUUAGUGUUGUGUGUUCUUUUACCCUUUGACACAAAACUUCAAUGUUAAAGAGAGAAUGCUGCUCAUACUGCUUUAUAAAAUAAUCAAAUGAGUGCAAGUUUCAUGAUAUGUGCUGAAUAAAAAUAUUGGAAAUUAAGCAGCUAGCCUAGCUCCUUCUUGUAGUUGCAGUUUGAAUGAUGCUGCUGCACAACUGCUGCCGAAAAAAUCCUUAAUAGAUGAUUAGCAAGGUUUCAAAAAUAAAAAUAAAUGUUUGUGCAAUGUGCCGAAUAUGACAGCCACAAAGAAAGAGCAUACAAAUUGACUGGUUUUAUGUCUUCUCUAGGAGAAAGCUACAAUACAAGAAAUUGUAUUGAUGCCAUGGACCAAAUUUCUUAUUUAAACUUUUAAUUUUUUUUUAUUAAAAUUACUUAUGUUAUUAUGGUUUAUAUUUUUAGAAAUUCUUUAGAAAUUAAUACAGAACUAGUAGCAAGUUGAGAAAUCUAAUGAAUGGUCGAGAUAUGAUCAUGUUUAUUGAAUUAAAUUGACAAUCAUCAUUUUGAUAAAUUAUUGUUAGGAUAUUUGAUUCAUCACAGGUGUAAGUAACUAAAUGUGCUAAAAAAAAAGUUAAUGAGUUGUGAGUGUUUGAUAUUCGUUUGUUGUAAUUCUUUUAAUAAUUGUUGUGGGAAAAAAAUUAUGGUAAAAAAAUUAUAAUUAUAAAAUAAAAAUUAAUAAUAUAUUAUAAAUAAAAUUUUUAAAUAAUAAUUUUAAUAAAAUAAUAAAUAUAUUAUGAAUUUUUCAUUAUAAAUUUUUAAGUUAAAAUAAUAAAUAUUUAUUAAAUAUUUUAAUAGCACAACUUUUAAAUUAUAACAGUACAAUGUAAAUACCAGAGGUCUUAAAAAAUAAAAUUACAGUCAAGUUUUAAAACUGUUAAUAAUGCUAUUCAUAAAGGCGCUCGUCGUGUAAACAACACAUGGGACCCAACCAAUAAAUGUUUAUGAUCCUCAACUUUCCUCCUCACCGUCCCUGCAAACAAUUCUGAUUUUCUUGUCUGAGAAAAAAACUGAGAAACAAUGGCGGCCGAACAAGAAGCUGUGAGCAAUAAGCGGGUGAUUCUAAGCAACUAUGUGACAGGUUUUCCAAAAGAAUCGGACAUGAAGAUAACAUGUGGAUCAAUAAAACUGGAGGUAGCAGACGGUUUAAAAGACACGGUGCUUUUGAAGAAUCUUUAUAUUUCUUGUGAUCCUUACAUGCGAGAGCGUAUGAGCAAGCUUGAUAGACCUUCUUUUGUUGAUUCAUUCCAUCCUGGUGAGGUUAGUUCAUCACGACCCAUCUCUUGAUUUUUUUUUUUUUUCAUUUGCUUCAAGUUUUGAUGAGUUUCUGAGGUCAUUUGUACGGUUUUGGAAUGUGAACACUAUUAGUGAUUUUGGGGCUGUAACUGUCAUUAAUGAUAUGUAGUAAUUCAAUCAGAAUUUGGAUUUAGUGCUGAUAUGAUCUCUGCUCAUUUUUUAAAAUCUUGUGUCCAGAUGCAUUUUUAUAAUCUUGUACGGUUGAGAUUGUAAGUAGAUUAAUCUACGUGCAGUAUUCUUGUCUAAUGACUACUAACCACAACCUUAUGAGACGAUCGAAACCAAGCUCAGAUCAAUAAUCCAAUUGAGAGAGGGUCCUAACUCAAGCUUAUCGUGUGUAGGAAUAUUUCGGUUAAAUUGUAAUUCUUUUAAUAAUUGUUGUGAAAAAAAAAAAGUUAUGAUAAAAAAAUUAAUAAUUAUAAAAUAAAAAUUAAUAAUAUAUAAUAAAUAAGAUUUUUAAAUAAUAAUUUUAAUAAAAAAUAAUAAAUACAUUAUCAGUUUUUCAUCGUUAAUUUUUAAGUCACAACCACAAAUAUUUACUAAACACUUUAACACCAUAAUUAACACCACAACUAUUGAAUUAUAACUGUACAAUCUAGACGCCAAGAGGCCUUAGUAUGAAAAAAAAAAAUUACAGUUAAGUUAAAAUUCAUCAUACAGAUGUGCCACUUUCAUACUAUACCGGGAUCCUCGGUAAUGAUUUUUGUUACACAAUAAGAUUUGCUUAUAGUAAUAUCAAUACAUAUGCUGCUUAAAUGCUUUCUGAUUUUUUGCCGGCCAUUGUCCAUUUUGCCAGGGAGUCUAUAAUUGAAGGAAUUUACUGAAGGAAUGCUGAUUGUUGGGAAUUUGAUUAUUCUAGGUAUGCCUGGUGUAACUGCAUACGCUGGUUUAUACGAAGUUUGCUUUCCGAAGAAAGGAGAGUAUGUCUAUGUAUCUGCAGCAUCUGGAGCUGUUGGUCAGCUUGUUGGACAGUUUGCAAAAUUAGCUCGUUGCUAUGUUGUUGGAAGUGCAGGAAGCAAAGAAAAUAUAGCACCGUGCCUUCUAGCAGAAUUUUACUUGCUUUAUGUUCCAACUAAGCAUCCAUAUUUGAUCAUGAUAAUUAGCAAGGUCAAUAAUUUUUUUUUGACUAUUUUUUCAACGUAAGGUCGAUUUGUUGAAGAACAAGUUUGAACGAUGCUUUUAACUACAAGGAAGAGCCUGAUUUGGAUGCAGCACUCAAAAGGUCAGCUGCAACAAACGUUUCAACUCUAAUAUUUCAUUUUAAUAUUACAGAGCUUUGGUUGAAGUGUGUGAGUUGAUCCCAGAAACGUAACUUCAUCAGUGUCUCUGUUUUCAAAAAACAGGACAAAUAGAAAUCUGAUUUUGCUUUAAAAUUUCCCAGAUGCUUCCCUCAAGGAAUCGACAUAUAUUUCGAAAAUGUUGGGGGAAAGAUGCUGGACGCAGUGCUACUCAACAUGAGGCUCCGGGCCGCAUUGCAGUAAGCAGUAUGAUCUCACAGUAUAACCUGGAAAAACCCGAAGGCGUUCACAACUUAGAGCAACUGAUCGGGAAACGGAUUCGCCUGGAAGGAUUUCUAGCUGGUGAUUACUAUCACCUCUAUCUGAAAUUCUUGGAACUGGUCAUUCCUCCAAUCAGAGAAGGAAAGAUGCUGUAUGUGGAAGACAUGGCCGAAGGACUCGAGAAAAUUUCUCGUAACUGCUACACAUUAAACGCGUUUCACAUUUCCACUCUCUUUCUAUAAAUAAAUACGCACAUAAAAUUUCUCACCAUCCAAAAACAAAAUCUACAUAAAAAAUGGCGGGUGAAGAAGCAGUGAGCAACAAGCAGGUGAUUCUGAGCAACUACGUGACAGGGUUUCCCAAGGAAUCAGACAUGAAGAUAAUAACAGGCUCAAUAAACCUUAAGGUGCCAGAGGGUUCAAAAGACACAAUGCUUUUGAAGAAUCUUUAUCUUUCUUGUGAUCCUUACAUGAGAGGACGUAUGAGCGAGCUUGAUAAGCCUUCGUUUGUUGCCUCAUUCGAGUCUGGCGAGGUCAGUUACUUCAAUUCCCAUCUCUUGGUUUCAUAAUCUUUUAUGGUUUUAGAAGGUGUUUUAGGGAAACAUUGUGGUUUUGGUUAGUGGGCAUGAGUCUUUGAAGAGAUUAUAAUGUGUAGGACUAUGCAUGCAAUAAUAAGCAUAGGGGAUCUUGUUAGGAGAAGAUUCUCUUAGCAAAAUAAAAACUUUUAUCUUAUCAAAACAUAUGCAGGGAACUUAGUUAUGAUGUCAUGUUAGCAUUAUCUCUGAGGAUUUGAUUUCUUGAUGGGGAAAGGGGAAUUUAAGGUUACAUUAUUCAGCAAUGUUUUUUUUUUAAAAAAUUAUGUUCAAAUUAUGCAGCCUUUAAGCGGAUAUGGAGUGUCCAAAGUGUUGGAUUCCACGCCUCCAAAUUAUAAGAAAGAUGACUUGGGUGGCGUUUGUUUUUUAACUUAAUGACUUAAAGUGACUUAACUUAAUUAAUUAAGUUAAUUAGAGAUGUUUGUUUUUAUAACUUAAUGUGACUUUUUAAAUAAUUUUGACUUAAUAAAAUAAGCCAAUUUUAUUUACUUUUUACUUAAUAGAGACAUCUGAAUUAAGUCAAGUACUUUCUAAUGUCAAAAAUAUACAUGCUUUAUAAUUUAUUUUUCAUGUCUAUCCCAAAACUCACCCAUAGACAUUUACCCCACAUAAUAAUCUCAUCAUUAUUUUUUUAGCCGUCAUGAAAUCCCUCCUCACUUUGGUAUCAACUCCUCAACUAUUGAAGAUCAAAAUUACAUGCGACAACUUCGAGAUGAAUGGCAAAUCAACUGUUUCAAGCAUCUUAUUCGUUUUUUUUCUUUUUUAUAUUAUAUACGAUAAAAUUUGAAAUUUAUGGUAUUUUAUAUAUUAAAAUUCCAAAAUCAUUAUAUAUUCACUUGAAUAUAGUUUUACUUAUAAAUGUUAAAAUAUUGUGAUAUUUAAUAUAUUAUUUAUUUGACAUUCAAAUUUAAUAAGGAUACAAAUGUAAAAGUACAUAUUUUUCAGUUUUUUAAGUUGAAAAAAGCAAACAACUUAAUAAUUAUUUUUCGAGAUUCAGACGAAAAAACAAACAUAUUAUUCAGAUUCAGACAUUCAGAUCUAUUCAGAAUUUAGACUAAUUCAGGUCUAUUCAGAUUUCAGAUAAAAAAACAAACGCCACCUUGGUCCGGGGCUUAACCAGUUGGGAGGAGUUCAGUCUCAUCCAAUCACCACAACUUCUGAUUAAAAUUCUGGAUACAAGUGUGCCUCUGCCAUAAUUAAUUGACAGGUUGCUAUGUUGUUGGAAGUGCCGGAAGCAAAGAAAAGGUGAGUUUGCACCCUUAACCCUUACGCUCUAAAUAAAAACAUAACACCUUCUGAAAGAAUUGUGCAUAGAGAAUUUUGCAUGUCACAUUAUUUGUGUUCUAACUAAUCAUGGAUAUUUGAUCAUUAGUCUAACUAAAACUGACAUAUUACCACCUAGUUGACUGGUCUUUGAGAAAUGUUAGUUGAUAUAUGCUUGAAAUCAUACUUGUUUUAUUAGAUGAUUAUAUUAACCUGCUUCUUUUUCUUUGUGCUGUUUCUCGUUUGAUUACAUUUUCAACAUUAGGUCGAUCUAUUGAAGCACAAGUUUGGGUUUGAUGAUGCCUUUAACUAUAAGGAAGAGCCUGACUUGGAUGCAGCUCUUAAUAGGUUAGCACGAAUGAAUGCUUUAACCAUUUUUCUCACUUCAUUAUUACAAUGCGCUGAUUGAAGUAAUCAGUGUUGGCUCUGAAAAUGUAACGUAUACUUCUCUGUUUUCAUAAAACAGGACAAACAGUGAUCAGUGAUCUCAUUCGUUACAUUGAUAUUUUCUACCAUUGCCAUACAUAGUAUAAACUAGGAAUUCAGUUGCUUAAUAGAUAUUCAUUUCAGAGGGAAAUUUUCACUUGCAGCUAACAGAAUCAUGUUUGUGAUGUAUGUUUAUUUGGGAAAUGAAAGGAUUUGUUGCAUUAUUUUAUUCCAAGUUUGCUGAAAUCAUAUUUGUUUUCCCAGGUGCUUUCCUGAAGUUAUCGACAUCUAUUUCGAAAAUUUUGGAGGUAAGAUGCUUGAUGCAGUGCUACUCAACAUGAGAAUUUGUGGCCGCAUCGCUGUAUGCGGAAUGAUCUCACAGUACAACUUUGAGAAGCCUGAAGGUGUACACAACUUGAUGCAAGUAGUUGGAAAACGAAUUCGCAUGGAAGGAUUUCUUGCCAGUGAUUUCUACCACCAAUAUCCAAAAUUCUUGGAACUGGUUAUGCCGGCAAUCAAAGAAGGAAAGUUAGUAUAUGUCGAGGACAUAGCUGAAGGCCUCGAGAAAGCUCCAUCAGCCCUAGUUGGGAUAUUCACAGGUCAAAAUGUUAAAAAACAACUGGUUGUAGUUGCUCGGGAAUGAUAUGAUUACUAUAUGCUUUAAAAAGUGGACUUUGCCAUGCACUUUAAAAGCUUAGUGAAGAUGCCUUUGUCUUAUUUUUGAUACAUGUUAUGUUUGUUUGAUCAAGUUGUACUCAGCUAUAAAUCAAAGAUUCAGAACAUGUGUAUGAUACUGGUUUCUAAAUCAAUGAACGCGUUGAAAUGUUAGUGUUUUCACAGGAGAAUGCAAUUUAAUUCAUCAACAAUGUCCCAACAAGACCCUCAGAGCUGUAGCUUGUAAAGUUAAUUACGAUAUUUUUUUGUAAAGUAAAUUACCAUAUUUUUUUCUUUCCAAUAUAUUGCUUAUUUCAUAGAAAGUUUACAUUAAAGUCUCAUGUUUCUUUGAAAGGUAAGCAAGUGUGAACGUUUCAAUCUAGAGCUGGAAAAUGCAUUUCCGGGCAACUUACUUGAUACAUGAAGUUUUCAUCUCUGACCUUGAUGUUUCCCAUAGUUGCAUUCAUUUCAGCUGAUCUAUUUAAUUUUGUUUUCGAAGGAGUGACACAAAAUCUCCUUUGUUAAGGGGAGAAUUUAGAGUGGCUUUGACUGUUAGCAAAUAGCCUAAUGUAAGACUUAACCAACUUCCUGCCCUGUUGUAUGCUUAUGAAUUUUGAUAGAGCUAAGAGUUUGCAGAAGCUACUGUAUUAUUUGUCGUUAGAGGCUGUAAAAAUCAAACACAUUUAAAUUUCAAUGAAAAUUUACUGGAAGUAAAUUUCCUAUGAUCCCACAGGUGACUAAUUAAUGAGAACUUGACAAUGACAAAAGAAAGUCUAUGAACUUUGCAGGCUGGCAUGCCAAUAUUGACUGGGUGGCACCAUCCACCAUCUGCAAGUGAAUAUCAUUGUUGUUUAAUCAACAAGGUGGAGUCCACUGGGACCACACCACAUCGUCAGCCUUAUCUCUAUUCCUCAAUUUUCAGUAUUCCAUACAUCAAACCAAUUUCAGUUUUGUUAUCAAUUAUAAUUUUAUUGUUGGUGACGAUUCUGAUUCCUUUCUGACAAAAGGGAACCAUGGCUGCUGCUGGAGAGAUCUUACUCAACGCCUUCUUUCAGGUACUGUUCGACAGGUUGGCUUCUCGUAAUUUGCUCAGCUUUGUGCGUCAACUCCAAGGCGGGGUUGAUUCGGAGCUCAAAAAGUGGGAGAAAAAGCUGAAGAUGAUUCGGGCUGUGCUCUGCGAUGCAGAGGAGAAGCAACUGACUGACGAGGCUGUGAAGAUGUGGCUGGACGAACUCCAAGACUUGGCUUAUGACGCUGAGGACACUCUUGAUGAGUUUGCUACUCAAGCUUUGGAAAGCAAGUUGAUGGCGCAAAAUCACGAUAGUUCUGGCCAGGUUCUCAGUUUCAUCCCGGCUGGUUUGAAUCCGAAUGCUAUUAUGUUCAAUUAUAGCAUGGGGUCCAAGAUGAAAGAUAUUACUAGCCGGCUGGAGCAACUCUGCCAAGAAAGAAUUGAACUUGGACUGCAACGGAUUACCGGAGAGGCAUCAUCAACUGCUGCUGCUGCACACCAGAGGCCACCCAGUUCGAGUGUCCCAACAGAACGUGAAGUAUUUGGAAGAGAAAAAGAUAAGGCCAAAAUUCUUGAUAUGUUAUUAGCCGAUACCAUAAGUGAUCAUGCUAACUUUGUUGUAAUACCCAUUGUUGGCAUGGGUGGGAUAGGAAAAACAACUCUCGCUCGGGAGGUUUACAAUGACAAAGCCGUUGGAGGUUCCAAGUUUGAUGUAAAAGCAUGGGUUUGUGUAUCUGAUGUCUUUGAUGUUUUGGGCAUCUCAAAGGCACUUCUCGAGUCAAUCACCCGCAGGCCUUGUCUUCUAAACAGUUUAAAUGAAGUGCAGGUUGAAUUGAAAGUAGCUGUGGAUAAGAAAAGAUUCUUGCUGGUCUUAGAUGAUGUUUGGAACGAGGACUACAGCUUGUGGGUAGACUUAAAAGCUCCGUUCCUGGGUGCUGCACCAAACAGUAAGAUGAUCGUCACCACACGCAAUUCAAAUGUUGCAUCAACAAUGGGACCAAUUGAACAUUACAAUCUCAAGAGUCUGUCAGAUGAUGAUUGCUGGUCCAUUUUCAUAAAGCAUGCAUUUGAAUCUAGAGAUCUUAACGCACAUCAAAUUUCAGAAUCAUUCCGCAAGAAAGUUGUUGCCAAGUGUGGAGGCUUGGCCCUGGCAGCAAAAACACUCGGAGGCCUUCUGCGUACGACGAGGCAUGAUGCGUGGGAUGAUAUAUUAGAGAGCAAAAUAUGGGAUUUACCUCGACAAAGUGGGGUUCUCCCAGUAUUAAGAUUGAGUUACCAUCAUCUUCCUUCUCAUUUGAAAAGAUGUUUUGCUUUUUGUGCCAUCUUUCCAAAAGAUUAUGAAUUCACUGAGAAGGAGCUGACUUUCUUAUGGAUGGCUGGAGGUAUUAUUCGACAGUCAAGAAACAAUGAGCAGCUGGAAGAUUUGGGCAGCAAGUGCUUUGGUGAUCUAGUGUCGAGGUCAAUUUUUCAGCAAACAGCAAGCUCUGAUAGUUCUAAAUUUGUAAUGCAUGACCUUAUUCAUGAUCUUGCUGAAUUGGUCUCUGGAGAAACCAUAUUCAGGUUAGAGGAGGCCAAUACUCUGUCAAGAAGAUUUGAAAGGGUUCGCCAUUCUUCCUAUGCUUGUGGUGGAUGUGAUGGUAAAAAUAUGUUCGUGGUUUUCAAUGAAAUUGAACAUCUACGAACAUUCUUGCCAUUACGCUUACGCAUAAGAGGUGGCUCUAAUACUAGUUACAUAACUCGUACGGUUCUAUCUGAUUUGCUGCCGAAGUUCAAAAUGUUGAGAAUGCUAUCUUUACAAGGAUACCGUAUUGGUGAGUUACCAAUUCCAUUUGAAGAUUUGAGACUACUAAGGUUCCUCAACCUUGCUGACACUGACAUAAGAAGUUUACCUGAGUCAACAUGCAAAUUGCUGAACUUGGAAAUUUUGAUAUUAAGAAAUUGUUCCUAUUUGAUAAAGCUUCCGCAGAAAAUGAGGAAUUUGAUCAAUUUACAUCACCUCGAUAUAAGAGGUGCGAAGUUGCUGAAGGAGAUGCCAUUCGGAAUGAAAGAGUUGAAGAAGCUUCAAACAUUGUCCAAUUUCAUCGUGGGCAAGGGCGAAACUGCAUCUGGUUUGGAAGAUUUAAAAUGUUUAAACUUUCUUGGUAAUGAACUUUGCAUUGCUGGAUUAGAGAAUGUGAAUAAUCCACAGAAUGCAAGAAGAGCCGCAUUAUGCGAGAAGCUCAAUCUUGAAGCAUUGACUCUAGAAUGGGGGUCUCAAUCUGACAGUCCUCGAGAUGCAGUACCAGAAGAGAAUGUACUUGACACUCUACAGCCGCAUAAACGUAUAAAAGAGCUGGCAAUCAGACACUAUGGUGGUGCAAGAUUUCCACUUUGGAUCGGAGAUCCUUCAUUCUACGAGAUGAAGGUCCUUAAAUUGGAGAACUGUGACAAUUGUGUAUCUUUGCCGUCGCUUGGCCUGAUGAGUUCACUUAAGCACCUUGCUGUUAAAGGGCUGAAGAAACUAAAAAGCAUAGAGUCUGAGGUUUAUGGGGAGGGUUUCUCAAUGCCUUUUCCGUCACUGGAGAUUCUAAGUUUCGAGAAUUUGCCAGAAUGGGAGCAUUGGGACACCGAGAUCAAAGGAAAUGCGCCUGUUGAUUUAUUUCCUCGUCUCCAAGAACUUUCCAUUGCAGAAUGUCCCAAACUCUCUGGACAACUGCCUGAGCUCCUGCCUUCCUUGAAGACACUUGUUGUUAGUAAAUGUGAAAAGUUGGUAGUUCCAUUGUCUUGCUAUCCAAUGCUUUGCAGAUUAGAAGUUGAUGAGUGCAAAGAACUAGUCUGCCGGACUCCGAUUGAUUUUAAGUUGAUAAAGUCCAUGACUAUUUCAAAUAGUUCAUUAGACAUGAAUGGACGCAAGGGGAUGUUAUACGAUGGUCCAGCUGGCUCUUCACUGCCAAAC
This 55270-nucleotide long non-coding RNA is filed under the name Citrus maxima (pomelo). Its description in RNAcentral is "long non-coding RNA (CMAX_LNC000711)". Lineage: Eukaryota; Viridiplantae; Streptophyta; Magnoliopsida; Sapindales; Rutaceae. The record is from RNAcentral.